Molecule: long non-coding RNA, 86799 nt
Filed under: Vigna radiata
Lineage: Eukaryota; Viridiplantae; Streptophyta; Magnoliopsida; Fabales; Fabaceae
Description: long non-coding RNA (VRAD_LNC004108)
Source: RNAcentral
ACAUAAAGCUGGUAACAACAAUAGAAAUUAGUUGGUCCAGAGAAUAGAUGAUAACAAGGAAAAGUGUUUUGGUUGUAAUGGACAAUAGAGUGGUAUUUUAAUACCUAUUGACGUGUACAACUUUAGAAGUGCAAGUUUAAUAGAACUAUCUGUCUUUGUAUGGAUGUUUGCUAAACCUUUCAUAAGUAUUACAUCAUUACAAACAGAGAACCUAGACGGAGGCCAGCGCCAUAGUAUAGUGCUCAAAAGUAAAGUCAUCUCUUCGAAAUACUCAAUUUUCUUUACACCUUCAGCAAAAUCCUUUAUAUUUCCAACAAUCCGAAGGGAAGCCUCCGUUUCUUUCAGUGCUUCCAUAACAUCCUUCUCAUUUGUAGCACUCAGAUUUGAGAUUACAAAAUUCAAAGUGGUAGCACAGGGUAUAGCAACUUCUACUUGAUGUGAAGAUAGCAAGGAUGAUAGACAAUAAACAAGAUCCAACAUAUGUGAUUGCAACAACGGAUUAGGCAGAACACUAACCAACUUCACUGCAACAUUUGACGCCAUGCUUAAUAAAACCUCAUUUUUGCAUUGAAGAAUCCAUAAUAAUGCUCCUAAAAUAUCAGGAAGAGAUUCCUGAGGAAGUAAAGCAAUGCAGGAAAACACAUUUCAUUGUUAUUGAAUGAAAAUACAGACCAAUUUAUCUAUAACAAAUCAUUCUACUCAAAUUUACCAGUAGGAAUUUACAUUAGUAACUAUUUCCAAAAAGUAUCAGUUUGGCUUGUGAAAACAUUAUCUGUUUUCACUGUGUCUACUGUUUUCAAAAUGCAGGAUACGUAAAAACAACUUUUAAAUUAUUUUUUGUUCUUUUCGCCUUUCCUUGUAUAAAGAUCAGAAAAGUUAAAAUAAAUAUGAAAACAGAAUUCUGUUUUUCUCAGACCAAACUGCCCGUGUGAAAUCCUUUCUUCGAUUAAUAUAUUUGUUUAUGCUAGUAAUAAUUCAUUGUAAUUAAUUUUCCGACGUACAUAUAAUCCUAACUUCGUAAGUAUGCUGAGUGAAAUUGACUCAAGCAAAUUCAUAAAACGAUCUAUAAAUUCCACAAUCUCCACAGGUAUGCACAUUUCAUUUAGAAAGUCCGAUGAACAAGCACAGAAACUUCUAAUUCAGGUUCGUAGGUGCUACUUACAAGACUUAAAAUCCCGAAAACAAAAGGAAGAAAACUAUACACCUUAACAACAGCAUGACGUGCUGCACGUGCAUCGCCCGAUAAGGAAUCAAGAAAGGCACCAAUUGAUCGUAGUACAUUUUUCUGCACUUCAAUGUUGGCGCACUGCCACCUCCACCUAUUUGUCUUCUCAUCAAAAUGUCUGUAUUCACAAAGAAUAAAAUCACAACCAGAACAACAACCCCCAACAUGAAAAAUACAAUUCAAUGACUUUGGGCCCCACUUCGUCAAAAACCAAAAAGAUAGAAAAUUUAAUGAGAAAAAUGACGGAAUAAAAAAUUAGAGGCAACUGGGGUGCGAGUUAAGACCUGGUGCCAAGGUUUAGGGCGUGGAGAAGACGGCGAUGGAGGUUCUGCAUAUGCGAACUGAUGUAGCGAUCGUUCUCUUUCUCUUUGUCUCUGCCGGAUUUCAUGGUCUCUUCCUACUAUGAGAGAAUUCGGAAAAAAUAGAGAGAAAACGAGGAUCAAAGUGAAAGAAGAAAUUGAAUUGUGUUGUGUGUGUUGCAGAAAGAAGGUGUAAGUUCAGCUCUGAAGUUUGAACACCGCCACAAACUCUCCUUCUUUACAAACUCUGUUACAAACUAGAAAGAUGAGAAAAAUAAAUAAAUAAAAUCCUAAAAUGUCACAGUAGAACAAAUAUAUUUUCGUAAAAUAUAUAAAAUGCCUUUUAAAUAAAUAACAGAUGAAAAAGCAUAUAAAUGGAAAUGAAAAGUAAAUAUUUUUAGGAGUGUUCCUCCCUGCACCUCCCCCUCUUCUUCCUGCACCUCCAAAAUUACUUUUUUACCCUUUUAUCAUUUAAUAAAGUCAAACAUAAUUAAUGAAUAAUAAAUGAUAUUCUAACUCCUAACUGUCAACCUCCCUAAUCCUUGUCUGAUCAGUAUAAACCUUACACCCCUUUACCCUCUUCCUGAUCCACAUUUGAGUUCUACAGAGCAUUUGAGCAUUUGAGCUGUUACCUUCACUUGAGUUACUUGAGUUACUGUUUUAUUGAGAACAAAAUAGUAUUUUGUGUUUCUACUGGUGAUUGUGCUUGUUAUUGAUCGUGGUGGUGGUGUUGUUUGCUGCUGGUUCGGCUUUGGACAUAUAGGAGAGGAAGAAGGAGCUCCCAGGUGAGUGCAUUUUUUAAUUUUGCCGCAUUUGGAGUUGCCGCAUUUCGAGUUGCGGCAGAUGCAAACCGCAUUUCGAGUUGCGGCAGAUGCUAACCGCAUUUCGAGUUGUGGCAUAUGCUAACCGCAUUUCGAGUUGCGGUUCUGAAGAAUUCAUUUUUACAUAGCCGCAUAACGAGUUGCGGUUUUCACAUAGUCGCAGAACGAGUGGCUGUCCUAAAUUCAUAAACAAAAAUAAAAAAAAUCAACUAAAAUUAUAUAUAUAAUAAAUAAUAUACAAAAAUUAUUUAAAAAUUAUAUACAUAAUAAAUAAUAUACUAAAAUAUAAUUUUGUGAUAAUAAAAAUUAACUAAAAUUAUAUACAUAAUAAAUAAUAUACUAAAAUUAUUUACGAAAAUAUAGUUUAGAAUAAUAAAAAUUAUUUCACUCAAUAAAUUAAUUAAUAGUUAAUCUAAAAUUUUAUAAACUUAAAAAAAAAAUUAACAAACAACCUAAAAAUUAAAAAAACAACGUUUUCAAAAAAAAAAAUAGGAAAAAAAAAGCACCAACUGCUAAACCGCAGUCUCAGCUGCUUUUGCCCCAAACGCAGUUUGAAGUACGUUUCCCACCCAACGCUGUUCGAAGAGCGUCUUUGCACACCGCAGUCUGAUCUGCGUCUCUGCCCUGCACCCCCCAAAACCAAACCAACCGCAAAUCGAACGGCGGUUGGUUUCAGACGCGGUUUGAACUGCGACACUUCUUAACCGCUGUUCCAUUUGCGGUUCUAUAACCGACACCCCCAAAAUGCAGCCGCCCUUCGUACUGCGGCUUUUCUUAACCGCACUUCCAUUUGCGGUUCUAUAGCACGGUUUCACAAGCAAAGCAAAAGAACAGAUCAAGAAGAUGAUUGCAACUUGCAGCGAGAUAACAGCGAGAUUGCAGCGAGAUUGGCAACAGCGACACAGCAACGAAAUAGCAUAGGCAACAAUGCACAGGAGAGCAAGAGGAACAAAGGGGUGUAGGGUUUUCUGUGUGAGAUGCGGCAGACUUAUGGGGGAUAAGAAACAGAGAUAAUUAAAGUGUUUGACUAAAUUAAAUGAGGGAUAAAAAGGUAAAUUAAAUGAGGGAUAAAAAGGUAAUUUGGGAGGUGCAGGGAGAAAGGGGUGAGGUGCAGGGAGAAGCACUCUAUUUUUAGAAUGUUCAUGAACGAAUCAUCUUGAAAGCAGAUGUGUGAACUACUUGUAAUCAUUGCAAUCAUAUUAUAAAUAAUAAAAAUUUAAAAUAUUUAAAAAAUAAUAAUUAGAAUUUGAUGCAAUGAAUAAUCUAUAAGAUUAAUAUAUUUGGAGGUAUUAUUUGUAUAGUUUUACGUCAAUUAGGUCCCUCUAUUUUUAAGUAUUUUAAUUUAAUUUCUGUUUAUGAAAAAUUAAAACAAUAAAAUCUGUGUCGUUAAAUUCUUUAGAUCGUGUUAAAAUUUAAGUUUGAUGGCUAGGUGAACUGACAUUUGAAAACAUGUGAUACAUAAUACGUGGACUUAAAUUGACAUAAUGCGCAGCCACAUGUCAGCACUCUUUUCUCCCAAUUAGGGUUUCAGAUGGGGUGAACACUCCUGCUCUAGCACCUAGUCUGUCUUCGCGAAAGGGUUUUGCCUCUUCUCCUCUGUGGCACUACGAACAAUUUGAUGGUGUUUCAGGCGAAUUGAACUCGUCCUGGUUCUUGGUUUGAUUCUUGCAGGUUUCUGGAUUUCAAUGUGGAGGCGCGAGAGGAAAACGUGAGAGAAGAUGAACUGAUGAAAUUGAUUUGGUGCUCCUCUUUGCAAGUGCGACACAGAAACGAAUGGAUUUCAUGGAUGAAGGUGUUGUUGUUCGAUGCUGGUGCGAGCUGGUGGUGGUUCGCUAAUGGCGGAGUGGUGCAAUGAAGGUGGGUGUUGCAAUGGCUUCGAGUUCUUGCGUGAGAAGUAAUGCGAUUCUGAGUUUUUGGUUUGGCUUUGCAGGUCCAAAAGCGAUGUCGACACUGACGCGUUUUUGCUUCGCGAUGGAAGAGAAGAGUUGUGAUUUUGUUCCUUUGAUUUCCAGGUGGAGAAGAUGAAGAUGGUGACGGUGGCGCAUCUAUUACCAGCGGCGGCGCAUGUGUUAGCGGUGACGCAUGUGUUAGCGGCGGCGACUUGCGCUAUGGAGAUGGUUGGCUAUCAGUGAGAAUGGCAUGCGAGGAAGAUGUUAGUGUCCGUGGAAGAAGGUCGCAAGAAGCAUGGUGGCUUGAGGUUGCUCAUGGUGCUGGCACUUGUGGUGACCCGUUCUGCAAUGGCGUUGAUGGUCGUGAAUGGUGAUGACGGUGAGAUCGUGGCAGUGCUGGAUGAUGCAGUGACUAAGGUUUCUUGAAGAGAAAUUAAGGUUUGUCUAGAGAUGAUGAUGAUGAUGACAUGGUAGGGUGGUGAUGUGGCAGAGACUUUUUUAAACUUUUUUAAAUUAAAAAAUCAUUUAAGUCUACCUCAGACAACAUUUUUGACGCCCUUCAGAGAAUUUAAUAGGAGAGACUUUGUUGUUUCAAUUUCUCAUAAUCAGGAACCAAAUCGAGUUACUUAAAAAUAGAGAGACCUAAUUGAUACAAAAUUGCAUAAAUAGAAAUCUCUAAAUCUAUUAAACCAUGUACUAACUAAAAUAAAUAAAUCUGCAUGAUCAUUGUUUGUAUCACUGUAUAAAUCAAAACAAUGUAGUAUGUUAUUUAAGCAUGUAAGAACAAUCUAGAAUUUGACGUUGUCAUAAAACCCUUCUAAACUAUUAUUUUUAAAUAAAGAGAGUGAAAUGUAUAAAUUUUUUAAAAAUACUUAAAAACAUUAUAAAUUUUUUUAGAAAUAUACUAAUUUAGAAAAUUAAUUAUUUUUUAGAAGUAAUUAAUUGUUUUAAAAACUAACCAUUGAGAAAACUAAUUAUUUUAAGAAAUAAUUAACCCUUUAAAAAAUAUUUUAUUUUAGAAAAAUAAAGAUUUGAAAACGUAAUAUAUAUUUUUAAAAAAAUUCUUAGAGAAAAAAUAUGUUUUUAAAAUAAAUUUAAGAGAAAAAUGUAUUCUGAUGAAUAUUUUGUUAAAACAAUAAUAUUUAGACAAGUGAUUAAUUAUUUAGUUUUGUGUUCUUAAUAUUAAUUUAUUUAUUUUAUAAAUAAUUAAAUAAAUUCGGUAGCUCCCAAACUGUACUGUAAGGUAUAAAAUAUGUAAUAUUAAUGUUGAUAUUAAUGUUGAUUUUUCUAGUUAAAAAACAGAAAAUUUUGAAAUAAAUAAAAUAAAAAAUUAAAAUGAAAAAACAGAUAGUUAAAAGAUUUUUUAAAUGAUUCCUAAAAAUUUAUACUUUACAAAAAGUAAUACUAAAAUUAAUUUCUUAUCUUAGGUAAUACCCGAAUUUCUCUGCAUAGCGUAUGGCCAACUCUAUUCCACGUAAAACUAUACUACUAAAUCGUAAAACAAUAAAAAUUCUCAUAUAUUUAAACAUCAAUUUGUUAAAAUUUACGUAAAAAUUGAAACAACAUUGUUUAGAUCAAAAACUCUCUUUUACUACGACUAAAGCUACAAAAAUAAUACUCUCAAAAGAAAUCUCACAUAUAGUCGAACCACCGUUCACUCUGAUGCAUUUUGAUUGUGAUUUCUUUGUUGCUUUCAUUUCUCAAAGUGCUAUGAUACAAGUUCAAGUUAAUUUUGUAUGAGAAAUAGGUUAUAAAAAAUCUUUUAUGAUUAUUAUGCAUUGAUAUUUCCUGUGGGAAAUAGUUUAUAAAAAAUCUUACAUGGUUAUUGUCCAUUUUAAUUGAUAUUUUCUACCAAUAGGAUUUCAAUACCCAUAGACAGCGGUUUCAGAAUCGAGACAUAUACAGACGAGGCAAAAAGGGAUAGGAUUUUGUCUCCGUUCAAUAGUAACCGAAGCAGUAGUGUUUUUGUUUUUUUUUAGGACUUUACGCCUCGGUUCCUUCAGAACCGAGGUAGUAUCUUCCACCUCCCUUAAUGGCCUCCACCACCACGGACCUUCCCUUCAUAAGCAUUCCAUCGAAAAACUUCACCAAUUCAUUAUUAAGUAUAGUAAGUUUCACAUAGUUUGGUUGUGUUCUUUUAGAUUUGAGAGGCAUGCAUAUGAUUGGUGGUAUCAAAGGCAAGGUGAUGUUAAAAAUGGUAUCAAAUCACUAAUUAGAGAUUGGAAUGAUCUAAGAAUUGCAUGAGAAGAAAAUCUGUUCAACCUACUUUCAAGAGAAAUCAAGAGCAUAAAUAUGAAAAUAGAGAACUCUUGGAGAAAGAUAAAGAAUCUAUUAGAGGUGAAAAAAAAGUUCUUUCUUAAAGAGAAGAAGUUUGAAGGGAAACAUGAGAAGCUCUUAAAAGAUAAGGAAAGUAGAGAAAUUGAAAGGAAGAAAGAGGAACAGAUACAACUGCAGAAAAAGUUAAAGAGGAGGAAGCUAGAAGAGAAAGGGAGGAGAGAGAAAAGAAAGCUAAAGAAGAAAAUAAGAGAAGAGAAAUGGAGGAAAGAGAAAAGAAAGAGAAAGAAGAAAAUGAGAGAAGAGAGAGGGAGGAGAAACAAAAGAAAGAGAAAAAAGAGACUGAGAGGAGAGAAAAGGUGAUGGAAGAACUCCUACUUAAAGAUGAAGUAUUACUCAAAGCACCUCCUACUCCCCUAAUCAUAAUUGAUUUAAGAAUUUUAAAGGGAGUUUUCCAAACUUUGAGUUCUUAUCUUUUCAUUAAUGAUUAUCAUUUCUUAAUUUCAACCUUUACUUUUAAAAGUCUUUUUACCUCCACUUUCACUCCCUAUUAUUUUUAACUCUUCAAUAACCUUUGAAAAAUCACUUUUUGAGUUGUUGUUACCUCACAAGUUACAAAUAACUUAAGGUGAACAAAACGAUUUUUAUAAAUUAGGUCUUAUAACUUUUGAACAAACUAAAACAAGAGAUGUCCAAUACUUCAAGUGUUUUGAGAGAAGGAACAAUUCUUUUGAAUGUUCUCCCGAAAGAACAUUGGUUUUAGAAGAUCAACACACUGGAAGCUUGAUAACUCUCAUUCUUCACCUAGUGAAGAAAAGGUUUUAGAUUCUGCAGAAAAAACAAAUUUUCCUAAGGAAAAUCUUUUAAAAAAUAAAAGGCCUUAUUUAUUUCUUCUUUUGUAUAUGCUUUUAUCACUAGAACAACUUUUUGAAAUAAAGGCCAACAAUCUUCUUCAUAAAACCUUUUCCAAAAACAAAAGGCCUUAUUUCUUUGUUCUUUUGUUUAGGUCUAUUCUUUUAAUAAUACUCCUAUUUUUCAUUUGUUGUAAGUACAUUUUUCAUCAAGGAGGAGAUCAUUAAACCAAAGUUAUGCUUCCUCAAAUAUCUUUUCGAUCUGAGGGCAGAUCGUUUCCAACAGGGGGUAUGAUGGAAUUCGUUUUGGGAACUAUUUGGAGAUCCAUGAAGGGAGCAUCAACUUAAGCUAAGGCUAGGAGAUUGGAAGAAGAAAAUGGAAUUUCAAGCUUGUUCUUGCUUUCCCUUAAGCCUUAGAAGACAUUGGACCUCUCAUAAAGAGCCAUGGUCGAAGAAGAUUGAAGAAGAAGAUGGAGCUUCAAGGAUUCUACUCCUGUGGAAGAUUACAUUUUGGUUUUCUUCUAUAUCAUAAAACACUUUUUGUAAACAUGUAAUAUAGCUCAUUUUUAGGCCUUGUAUUUGGCCAAGACACUUUGUUUAAACUUUGUUUAGAAGGUUUGAUGGCUUUAAGAGUUAAAAAUGGAUUAAAAAUGGGUUUUGGAGGGAGUUAGUUGUAAGGAGCCUUUGCAUUAAAUGUUUUGACCAAGUUAGUUACAAAGCAUAAGGCUCCUCACAUUUAAUGCUUAGGCUCCUCAUUUAAUGUUUAGGCUCCUCAUUUAAUGAUGAGACUCCUCAUUAAAUGAUGGAAAGGCUCCUACAUACUCUAUGUACUAUAGCAUUCUCCUUCACUUAUAAAAGGAGACACACCCUUUUGUAAUCCUUAGAACUUGAUUGAAUGUAAAGUCCAUUUGCCAAAAUUUCGAGACCUAUCUUCUUGAGUUCUCACCUUAUCAAAUUGUCUUUUUCUAGGCUUUUUCAUACCUUCUCCUUCAUGGUUGGCCUAACUUCGUAGAAGGACAUAUCUAUCAAGACCAUACAACACCAACAUCUUCAUCUCUUCAUCUCUGUUUUCUUCCACUACUUUCAUUGAUCAUCAUGGAGUCCACCCUUUUGAAGAAGCUUCCUCAACUCAUCAUAGACAUCAUCUUAUGUUGAAGGAGCCUUUUCAAAGCAAUCUUCAUCAAGUCUACUUGUUGUACCUAGUAAAUCGUGGUUCUAUUUGCAUAUAGAUGUUUCCUAUGGCAUUAGUUGUUGAAAAGAGAGUGGUGACUCUCUUUGGUAUUGGUUGUUUAAAAGAGAAUGUCCUCUCUUUGUCAAAUAGUUGUAGAAAAAAGAACCGUAUUCAAGUGGUGAAUCUUCUAUACUGAAGGAAUAAAUGUUUGUCUUAUGUGAUAGGAAAACAUGUCCGAAAUUAGAAAAAAGAUGACUGGAAUCUAUCUAUAAAAACUUUAAAACAUAAGAAGAUAAAUAUUAUUUUUUAUCAAAUAAGUUGCGUGAAGAGAAAAUAUCGAUUAAUGUUGCAUGAAAUACAUGUAGUCCUUCACGUCAAAGCUCGACAAACAAAAGCAAAACAAAGAAAAAAAACAUUGAUUUAAGUUCUAAGCUACUUAAUAAGUAGAAAAGGAUAACAAUAGUACCCGUGUUCCAUACCUUGAUGAUAGUGUUCUAUCUAUUGACAUUCUUUGUUAUUUCUUAGUUUUAUUUGACUCAAGAACGAUUUAUUAUUAAUCUAUUAUUUGUUUAACAUUUAAUGUAAUCCUGUUUAUGAAUUGUGUAAUAAUAAUAGUAAAAACAAGUUACAAUUAUUUACUUUUUAUUAUUCGUGAAAGGAUUUUAUUAUUUACUUUUUAUUAUUUUUAUCAUACGAAAAAAUUGAGGAAAUUCUCAACUCAUCUCAUCCAAUAUCUUUUUUCUUUUUUUCACUUUGCCUAGAAUAUAUUUUUAUUAUUACAAUUAUGCCCUCACAUAACCCGACCCUAGCCUAAAGAGAGUUAGGGUUUCGCGCUUUUCGCUAUAAAUACCAAAACAGGGGUUUUUAUCGCCACAGGUUUACAUUCAGGGAUCAUCUUCUGGAAAAAAUCGACAUUGUUGAUAGAAAAGCGUGAGAGUUUCUGUUGUUCAGGAUGAGAGCUAAGGUUAAACGCAUUUCCUUUCAUUAUUCAUGUCUAUGUAAUGGUUAUUUUAUUUAUAAUUUACGUGCACUGAGCGUUUUAGGAUCCGAGUAUAAUCAUGAAUUUGUCUUUGUUCUCAGGAAUUAGGAUGUUUCUUUCGGUUAUCUGAUGUUUGAUGUGUUUUUUUGUUCGAUAUUGAUUUUGCAUCGUCUUUCUUUUUUCCUUUCUGAAUUGCUCAUGUAUUCCUUCUAAAUGGACUAAUAUGAUAUAUGCAGUUUGUUGUUGGGAAUUCGAUGCACUGUUUGAUUCUCGAAAUUGAGAAGAGCAUAUCGUUCGUUGGUUUUGGUUUUCGCAAGUGCCUUGUUGGAUAUAAAAUGAAUUGCAUCAAGUAUCUCAUUUGAAAUUAAUUAGAUUAGUUUUGAAUUUUGAUUCGAUUGGACUUGGUGUUUUUCGAUACAUGGGUACUGUUUCCUGUGUUCCCUUGUGUUACAACUUCUGAAUGCUUGUCUAAUUGCACAACUGACAGGAAUUUUGUGUAGUGAGUCAUUAAGAGGCCGAUGAAGUUAUGUUAAUUUCAUGAGGAACACAUUUAGGUUAAGCAAUGGUUCUUGAAUUAACUAGUGAACUUUGUUUUAUGCAUUUGCUGUCAAAAGCACCUGAUUCUUUUACAUGUUUGCUUCAAAUUUCAAAGCAGGGUAAGGGAGUGUUAGAGAAGGUAUCAUUUUAGUUAGCAAAGGGAGGGGAAAGAAAAUAAUAGUAUAUACUGUAAUACAGUAAUUCCUUUUAACAAAGGGGAGAAUGAUAGUUUUGUCAACAAAUUUUGUGAACACAGUUUAGUAAUGUGUAGAUCUUUCUUUUUUUUCCCCGUAAAUACGGAUGUGGAGGGAUUCUAGCUAGGAUGUCAAAAAAAUAUAAUAAAAAGAAAAUUUUUAUGGUUAAAAUAUCUUGAUAAAUAUUUUUUGUAAAUAUCUGCGGAUGCAUGCACGGAUUUGGAAACAUGUAUGGAGCUGGAUAUUGGAUAUUUAUCCAGCCGGAGGUAGCGGGGGACUAUCCGUCAAUUCUAGCCCCCCCCCCCCCCCCCCCCCCCCCCCCCCCCCCCCUUUUUUCUUCCAUCUACAAACAUUUUAAGCCAAACCAUGUAAAACUAAUAGUUCUUCUACUCUCCAUUUUCACUUCCACGGAAAAGUGAUUUGUCAUUUUGUGAGUGAUAAAGGAAGGAAUUUAACUCUUCUAAAUUGUGUGAAAUCAUCACCUUUUUUUUUUUUCUUUAAGUUGAUUCUGUGACUGCAGAGGAGUUAUAAAUCCUGAAGGGGAUACUGCGUUUAUAUUGGGUAAAGGCCUAUAGACAUUGCUUCAUAUGUACUGUAAAAAAUUGAUCCGUAUCAUUCUGCACAGGAUAUAUAUGUACUUCAUCUACUAUGGCUGUUGCAACAAGUUUCUGUUUUGCCCAUUUGUAUCAGACUAACAUAAUGUUGCUAUGUAUCAGUGGAAGAAGAAGCGCAUGAGGAGGUUGAAGAGGAAGCGCCGAAAGAUGAGACAGAGAUCUAAGUAGGUGCUUGAGCAGGAGUCAGAUGAGCUUUCCUUCCUAUACCUAGUUCAUGGCAUUUUGGGUUUUUAUGGCUCCAAUGAUCUCGAGGUCUAGUUGGGAGGGGAGGCAUAUCUCACGACUCAGUUAGCAUUACUGCAUUAAGACUAUUGAGUGGAUUAAGUUGUUAUGAUGAGUGUUUUAUCGUACCUAAUUAUGUACUGAUUUUGUAUACUUCUUGGUUUAUCCGAAUAGCUUAUAUAUCGUAAGAGUUUCCUGAAAUUUGAUCAUUUUAUAGAGAUGUUAAAAUAGAGUUGACUGUUCAGGCAACAUAAUUUACCUAUAAUUUUUAGCUUUUAUUUUAUUACCAGGUUUUUUUUUCCUGGUCCAUUGAACUUUUCUCUUCUAUAAAAUAGUUGUUAUAUUUUUUAAAAGUAAGAAGUAGCUUUUUUUUACAUGUAUUGAUGUAUUGCUUAUAUAUCGAAUUAUCGUAUUUAAAAUUAAAAUUAAUUUUAAUAAUAUGAUUUAAAUUCUGACUAAAAUGCCAAAAUUUUGCAGCUGGUUCCAGCACUAUAAGCUUUGCACCUGCUAAUUUUUCACACAUGUGUCGUAUUUAUAGGUUACUUAAAAGAUGGUCGUUUUUAGUUUUAAUUUAUUUAUUAUUUUGAAAUUUCUUAAACUUUUAUUUUAAUAGAAGAGUAUAUAUGGUCAGGGUUGCUUUGGACUACUUCUAUGGCUUGGCAUAAUUCAGUACUCUGUAUUAAAAUUACAGAUAACCAUACUAUAUUAUUCUUAAAAAAACUAAACUGGUUUUGACUUAAAAACUAAUUAACUAAUAGUUUAGUUUAAAAAAAUUAAACUUUACAUCAUUUCAGUACAGAUAACUGAGUGAACCAUUGAAUUUUUUUUUCAUAGUUUUCCUCUUCUCUGAUCAUGACACUUUCAGUUGUCUCAGUAAUACUUUUAUUUGAUUAUCUAACUUGUCAACUAUGGUUGCAUCAUUAUAUUAGAGUGAAAACAAAUGUGUGUAUUCCACCUUUUUGUUCGUGUUAGCACCCUUUUAUCUGUUUCUUGAAUAUUGGUAUGUUGGAAGGUAAUUUGAAUGUGUGUAAUACUUCUAAAACACUGUACUUAAACAUGGUCGUUCGUGCAACGAGCACUUAAAAGGAAGACUUUAAAAGGAUUGAGCAGAAACAGGAGCAUAUGAUGAAUUUCUUGACUAGGGCAGUUAAUUUUUUUUUUAUUUGUUAUCUGCCCUAUUUUGAUUUGUGAUUGAAAACUUCAGUUGAAUUUAUACUUUAGUUUAAUAUAAUACAAUUUGAUAGGAUAAAACAUAGUUUAGUUCAGUAUAGACUAACUAUGUUUUGGUUCAGUAUAGUUUUUAACAUUCAGUGCAGUUUAUUUUGUCCAGUCUUAAUAUUUCAAUCAACUUCUCUAAUGGAGUAGAGUAGUCUUAUGUAAGACUUUAAAAUUAUUAUAAAAACAAAUUUGUAAAUUGUUUAAAAUUCUUUAGAGUAUGCUCUGAUUAAGCAAAAUUUAUCAAGUUGCUUAGCAAUGAUGUUAUACAAUAUGGAUUAUAAAUUGCAUUUUUUUUCUGAAAGUAACUCAAAUGAGAAAUGUACUAAAAUAAUAUUUUAUUUAGUUGAUACUUUUAAGAUAGAAAAAAUAUUUAUUUUUUCAUAUUAUCUAAGAUUAUAUUAAGAUUAGGUGUUAUGUUUUUUCAUGUGAAUUUACUCUAAAGAAAAAAAAAUCUUAUAAGACGCAUGACAUAAACUAGGAUAUGUAUAUAUAUAACUCCUGAAAUAGAAUUAAACUUAUAUAUAAUUAUAAUUGUUUUGUCGAUAAAUUAUCUUUUUUAGUAUUUUAUUUAAAAAAUAUCAAUUUGGUAUCUUUAUUUCUAAGGACUUUAAUUUAAUUUUUUAUAAUUUACUAAAAAAAUGUGCUGUAUUUUAUUUUAUUGAAAAAAAUCAAUAUAAUAAAAGUAUAUGCAACCCAAGAAAGGUUAUAUGCAAAGCAAAAACAGAGACCGAAAUUUCGAUUUAUCCGAAUGGAGAAUCUAGUCGGUCACCCAGGCUUGACGAGAACUUCACAACUAUUGAAAAUUAAGGAAUUUAGAUGAGAUAUUGAAGAAAACAGAAUAUACAUUGCGCGUUAACCUUUUCAGCUUAAAUGUGUUUCUUUUAACUUUUAAUAAAAAUUAGAAUUAGUCAUCUUCAAAAUUUUUGUCUAAUUUAGUCCCAUAACUUUAAAAAUGUAUAAAUUUAGUUUUUUUAACCAAAUUUUGUUAACUUUAUUUGAUAUUUUAAACGUAUUUUUCAGUUAACAUUGAAACAAAAAUGGAUCAAACAGUGUAAACAAUCCAAAUACUAUACUUAAAACAUCAAAUAAACCUAAUAAAAUUUAGUUAAAAGAACUAAAUUUAUAUAUUUCUAAAAUUGGAGGAUUAAAUUAGGUCAAAAUUUUAAAAAGAAACUAAUUCUAAUUUUAACUGAGAGUUAAGGAGCAAAACCAUAUUUAACCUUUUCAAUUUAAAGAUAAAAGGCGUGUAAAACUUGAACAUGUUUCUAAUGAAGCUGAACAACGAAAGGAUUGAGCUUAAGAAUGGUACCAUUACAGGAGAGAGAGAGAGAGGGUUUAUACAUUUCAGAAAAAGUAACUUGAUUGAAUUAAAAUCAAGACUAAAAAUAUAUUUAAUUUUAUUUUUAAAUAUUUAUAGCAAUAUUUUUUUAUAUUUCUCACUUAGUAAUUGCUUGCAUCAGGUAUAAAAGGACAUUCUCAGAAAACAUUUGAUUCCUAACUAUGUCAUUUAGAAAAACACAUGAAAAUAAAAAUAAUUUCAAUUUCAGAUUCCUAAAGUUUUUAUUUGUAGUAAAAACACCCAUCUAAGUACUACUUUUCCAGACUUAAAUAAGACCAGGAUCUAUUCCUUUACAAUUCAACAUGAAGAAAACACAUUUCCAAGGUUUAUAUUCUCAAAUAUUUGAAAUCCUUAAAAUAAACAGUAAUGAUAUUUAUAGUAAUUUUUUUCUGUUGACAAAAAUAAGCCGAUGAAAACAAUUCUAACAAUCCUAAAUUUGUGUUUUGCUUUGAAAAGUUUAAGUUCUCAAAAGACAUUUAAUGAUAUAUUUUACAUAACCUUUAACUUUUUUCAUGAUAUAUUGAUAUCUAUAGUGUCAGGGAGGAACAUAAGGACAAUGCGUAGUACUCCUUCAACAAACUGAAAGUUCCAAAGGAUUCAUAUAGAGAAAAUAGGAGCAAGAAAGAUAUGUUCGAAUCGAUCAUUUCAUUAUUUACGAUGCCAAAAGGAAAAUUCAUAAGCACCGGCAAAUAAUGGAAAGUAAUAAAUAGUGUAUUCUAUAUAUCAUCAGAUGCUAUCCAAGCUGGCCUGUUUCUAUUUAGUUAUAAAAUGGUUUGUCACACUUUAAAACUAAGCUAUUUUUUAAUUUAAUAUAUUUUGAAUCAAACAAUUCAGUUAUCAGAAAAUAGGUUAUGACCCACCCAAUCCCAUAUAAGUGAGAGUUAAUAAAUUUAUAAUUAUCUUAUAAAUAGUAUACUUAUCAAGGUAAAUAAUUCACAUUUAUUUUUUACACAUCAAUUGUUAUCUAACGUACUUUACUAACUUAAGUGUCAGAUUAUUAUUUGUAGGCACACCACCAUCCAUCCAGGGAGGACGAGCACCUAUGAGAGAGCGGAAGGAAACUUACUUUAUGUAUAGAAAAUUGAGGAAGUUCAUGAAGAUCGUCUUCAUAGGGUACAUUCGGUUCUGUAAGUACAACUCACGCCCAUGUGGGGUUGAUAUUCUGUGAAGAAAGAGAGACCUCGACAUAUGCUCCCUUCACUAGAACUAGUUGUUGAGACAAAAUCGUUUAUACGUCUAAAAACUCUCAUGUUUUAAAGUUUAACCAAAUAACAUUAAACGAAAUAAAAAUAUGAAAAUACCAUAGGAUGAAACAUAAGACUUAGGCUCAAGAUCCCCAACAUAGAAAAACCUUAAGAAAACACUUAGGAUUGUAGAAAAAAAAAAAACUAAAUCAAAACACCCAGAUGCAACGCUAAAUGACUAUCACGUCAAAAUCACAAAACAUUUACAUCAAUCCAAACGGUACCAUGAGUUAAACUGUUACUUCGUCUAACGAUGAAAUUCCUACUCAAUGGUUGGUAUUUUUAGAAGAAAAGCUAAAUUGUUAAACGCUACCUCUGGUAGAAAAUUGAAAAGCACUUGUUGUUUUGAGCAAACAUUAAAUGACAUUAAAUGUUCAACGUUCAAAAACAACAAAAAGUGAUAAGAGAUAAGACAUAUUUGUUACAUGCAUAAUCUAUUCUAUUCUUUGUAGAUAACCUACUCUACACGCAUCUACAAGCUUCAAUUAAAAUAUCAAAAGUAUACGUUAAAGAUAAAAGAGAUAUUCACAGAAUGUUCUUCACUUGAAGCGGUGUAUGAAAGAAAGUACAACCUACUUUAAGCAAUGAUUGUUGUACAUGAAGAAAAAGAAGAAACAAGAAUCAAGGCCAAGAGCUUAGUCUAACAGACAUUUAUUCAAAGAGCCUUUAAAUAAAAGAUAAUUCAGAUGAAAAAUCAAGAGGAUAACAUACAACGUAAAUAUUCAUCCUUUGAGAAGCGUUCAAAAAGAAAAGCAUAGAAAGAGCUCAAGAAAAAUAAAAUAUCUAAGCAGAAAAAAAAGAAGAAGAAGAAAAAAAACAAUACUCUUGAGUUUCAUUGUAAUAUUUGCUUAGUGAUUGUAAGAAAGAGAGAAAGAGAAAACACACAAACACCUGCGACUGUUUAGACUGCAUUGUAUUGUAAUCAUAUCCUCUCUGCAAGAGUAAUAGUAUGAACGACUUGUAAGCAAUCGUUGAUUGCAAUUAUGAAGAGAAUUAAAACACUUGUUGAACUCGGUUGAGUUAAGGAAAUCUUUUGUGUAAAUGAAAUCUUAUGUUUGAUUGAUCAUAAAUAUAAUUUACGACUCUUCCCCUUUAUUUAGAUUUGAAUUAGAACAUUUUUGUUAUUUUUUUAGUAGAAAGAGAAAAAUUUGUAAUUAAGUAAGCGAGUGAGCCAACCCGUUUAACCUAUCAACUCGUGGUAGGCCGGGUUGGAUUCAAAUUUUUUUAACUCACUAAUAAGUGAGUCAAGUUGAAUUGACUCACUAAUUGGCCAAUCCGUGGUGAGUCGAGUCGGCCGGAUGAUCCAUUUUGACAAUUACUUGAAAUGGUAUAUUAAUUUUUUUUCCUAUAUGUAGUGAAGUUGGAGUAUUACUGAGCAACCAAAAGAAGCUUUAUAUGUUAUUGAUCAAUGUUGCUUUUGAUGGGUCAGGUUAGGUCAUAACCUCUUGUUUUUGUUGGCAACAAAAACUUAAUUGUUCCUUUCAUUUUUUAUUAGAUUCACUUGUCUCCUUAUGUCCAUGUCUAUAAUGUUUGUAACAUUACGGACCUUCUUUUUUGCUUUAGGGCUUAACGUUUGUCCCAAAUUAAACUAACACUUUAUGUUUAUUAAAAAGAUGUUCCAGAGCAUUUACAAUGUUCGACUAAAAAUAGAGUUAAUAUGGCAUCAGUAGAAGUUAAUUCAUAUGACAACUACAGGUUCUAAGCCCCAACAAACACAAUUCUCGUUGUCUGACCACUGUGAAUCUUUACGAAAUCCACCAGGUUUGAAGCCACAACGAACCACCACGAGCCUGCAUCGUUGUUAACCAUCAGUCUCUUACCACCGCGAACAACGCCUGAUAACUCUUUUGACAAGUAUACCAAAUCGCUCCAAGUAAUGAAAAGAAAGUUUAGAUUAUCAUUCUCCUAAAAAAAUUGAGUUACGUUAUCUAAUUGAAAUUAUUUAUCAAAAUCAAUUUAAUAACAAUGGAACUUUGAUUCAUGCAAACUAAAAGUAAUUAAAUUAACAAAAUAUUAAAACUUACUAGUUUGUAAAUUACUGAUGAGAUGUAUUUCAAACUCUCUUAACAAUUGUCUGAUAUGGAACCCACACAGGGUAUUGUACAGUUCAGUUUCUUGUAGAUCAAAGGAGAUAGCCGAAGAAUGAUAGAGAUGGUUACGUGUUCUAACAUUCAAGCUUGUUAACUGUAAAACAGAUAUUAACCAUCAACAUAGUGUGAAAUGAUGGUUUAUUGGUUUCCAAUAUGCAUUGACAGAAAGCAUUUGAAGUUUUUAAAUUUUAAUGUGUUCGGAGAAUGUAUCUAAAGAAAGGGGAGAAAAAAGUAUAAAGUAGUAACAUUUCUUUUGUCCUUGCUGAUAUGACAGCUUAUUCAUCUUUUAAGCAAGUUCUCUCUAUAUUCAUCUUUGUUGGUACAGACAUUUUUUUAAUGCUUCCUUGUAGCGCUAUCAUUCUUCUAACUGGUUCUUUGAACAACAAAACCUGCUCUACGAAUGUUUUUUUUCACAUUAGUUAUUUCAAUGAAAGGGGUAAGAAUUUGGAUUACUUUUUAUGUGUUAUUUCUCGACUAUGUCUUCAAAAUAUAGUGAUGAACACUAAUUUUGAUGUUUUAUAAAAUAUAUUAAAGAAUUUUAAUAUAUGUGUAUUUUUAAUGCUUGUAACAAAAACUCCAGCAGGAAAAGGGGUAAUCAUAUAUUCAUAUGGCAAUAAAAAUGGCAUGGAAAGUAAUUUGUAACCAAGAAACAAACCUACAAAUGGAUAAUACAAAUCAUUCGAAGAACUCAAAUUGCUAAAAUAUGUUAAAUCUAAAGCAAGGGAGAGAAUGCAAUCAGCAUUAUAUUAUCUGCUUGAGCCUUUUCAUUAUUCAUCUCUAGACACUAUGUUCAAUCAAAAUUUCAAGCAUUUGGUAACUUGUUUUACUUACCUAAUUAACAUCUGAAGGCAGUCAUAGGCCUACCUACUUUCUGUUAGGGGUAUAUGUCACUAUUCUGCUGCUAUUAAUUCCUUGAAGUCGAAUUGCAUACAAAGCCUUUCAACAGUACUUUGGCUCAGAACCUCCUUCCCACACAACUCUUUCAACAGGUCUGCAGCUAUAUCUGUCUUCUCUUCAAAAGCAAGUCCUUCCACAAGAAUGGUAUAGGUAUUCUCAUUAGGCACACAUCCUUUGUUAACCAUCAUCAGAAAUAUCUCUAUUGACAUGUCUGUUCUCCGAGCUUUGCAAAAUCCAAGUAUAAGUGCGUUGUAGUUAUCAAUAUUAGGAACGUGUUCAUUUUCUUCCAAAAUACUGAAUACCUUAAGAGCCUCAUCUAGCAUUCCCUCCCUACACAUUCCUCUUAUCAUAGAUGAAUAAGUAAAUGAAUCUGGAGUAAAUCCAUAUUUUGUCAUUUCAUAUAACAUCUGAAAAGCUGCAUAUGUGUUCCCUUUCCUACACAGGCUUGCAAUCACGUUUUUGUAAAAAUCAUGGAUAGGGUUGCUUUGUUUAUUACUCAUGCUUUGGAUUAUAAAAAAAGCCUCCUGCACUUUACCUUGCUCACACAGCAUUGCAACAGCGCAAUACGUUCCAUCAUUAGGAUUACAACGCCUGUGAAUCAUUUGGUCUAUGCAUUGAACAACAAGAUCCACUUUCCCUUCCUUGCAGAGUCGUGCAACAAUCGGAUUAUAGCUAGUAGCACUCACCUUGAAUCCACUCCUUGUCAUUUCAUCCAAAACCUGAAAAGCUUGUUCUGUUCUUCCGUGAAAUGAAAGUGAAGUAAUCAAUAUGUUGUAAGUGACCACCGAGGGAGACUGGUCCCUUUUAUCCAUCUCUGCAAGAAGUUCGUUAGCUUCCUCCCAUCGCCCUUCAUAGCACAAACUCCUCAGCAAAAUGUUGUAACUCACAACACUAGGACUGAACCCUUUUGCAGGCAAUUCCCUGAAAAGCCUGAUAGCUUCUUCAGUUCUCUCUUCCUUGCACAACCCAGUUAACAGCACAUUGUAACUAACCAAAUUAGGCUCUCCACCCUUGGCAAUUAUCUCAUCAAGAAGCUUCAUGGCCUCAUCCACUCCCCUUUCCUUGUAAGCCGCUUGGAGAAGGAAAGAAAAUGUGAAUGCAUUUGGAACCAAGCCCUUCUUUCUCAACUUAUCCAAAAGCUGCAAGCUCUGCUUCAAGUUACCAUGCAUGCAAAGGCCUUUAACAAGAGUGUUAUAGGUAACAGUAUUAGUUGGAAGACCAUGCCCCUCCAUCUUCUCAACCAACUGAAGAGCAUACCCAACAUUGCCUCUCCUGCAUAAAAAAUUGACCAAGUAUGUAUAAGAGGCUGCAUCAGGUAUAAUACCUGAAUCAACCAUCAUAUCCAUCACCUUAACAGCCUUUCUAGCUUUGUUAAACUUGCAAAGAUCAUACAAAAGCUGAGUUGCUUGAGUCACCUCUGGCUUUUGGCCCUUACCCACCAAAUACUCUAAAUGGAGAAAUGCAUCAUAGACCUUUAGCUCUUUGCCCCUAGGGUCAUUCCUCCCACCUCUCCAAUUGGGGAGAUUAAAAACCGCAUCUUUUGGGGUAAUGGCAAUCUGGGUCGAAGCCGAAACCCUAGAAAAACCCUUGUUCAUGGAAAAAGUGUGGAGAUUCGGAACCUGGGAGUGCAAGAAACCGCCACAAGUGGGUCGUUUUGUUUUGGGGGAUAAAUUUGCAGCUGGUGACACAGUAUUCAGAAGUGAAGCCAUGAUUGAAGUAGGAAAAUGAAGUAUAACGAUGGUGAAUGAGUCCUAGUUGAUCAUGUUUUGCAGAUAGAACAAAAACUAAGAAACAUUGUGGACAGGUUCUGCUUGCAAUAGGUAUGUUGAAACUAGUUACAGUGGAUACACAGUGAUGUGUGAAGAUUGAUUCUUCGCGAGAAUUAACAAGUGAGAAAGUGAGUGUGAAAGGGAAAGAGAGAAAGGUACCAACAACUGAAGAUUUUCAUUCAAUAGCGUCAGCUACGUUCCCACCACACCUACGUUUUAUCGUGUUAUCCUAACACAAAUAGUUAUAUGUUUUUCUUUGAUAAUGUUAAUUUGAGAAUAAUAUUUUAGAAAAUAUUUUAAGUUUUGGUUCAAAUUAUUUUAACAUCAAUAAUAAUAAUUAUUAUAAAUAUUAAUAUAAACUAAUAACAAAAUAACACUAAUAUUAAAAUUAAAAUGUUGUUAAAAUAUCAAUAUUUUUUUCAGAUAAAAAUAAUUGUUUUAUUUUCACAUUCGACUUACUAACUUUUUUUCAUGGUCAAUUAUAAAAAAAACGAAAUACUUUUAUAUUUAUUUAACACAUGAUAUAAAAUUAAAAUAGUUAUAAAAUAUAAAUUUUUUAUAUUAAAAAAAUAAGUAAAAAGUUAGAAUAAUAUUAAACGAGUAUGAAAAUUUUAGAUAUACGAGAGAAUAGUUUUGAAGAGAAAAUAAAUGGAUUGUAUGAAAAUAGAACAAAUAUAAAAAAAAUACUAAAAGAAAAACAUAGAAAGAAUAUAUAAAUAUAUUAAACAUAUAUUUUAUUUACGAAACCAAUAUUUAAAUACAUAUAUAGAAUAAACUAGUCUCUAAGUCACUAAAUUAUUUUAUUACUAGUGAUUAGGCUUUUAAAUUAAAAAAAAUGCAGUAAAAUUAUUAGUUUACGGGAGUUAAUUUAGUUGGAUUAAGGUUACUUGAAACGAUGAUUAGUAGCCAAUGUAAUAUUUGACAAGUGUUUAUUUAAAUCAUUAGUUUUUUAAAUAUUUGUUAUAUCCAUUGAAUAUAAUUUUUUUCAAAGAUUGACUAGUAGAUGUAAACUUUUAAAGCUUCUUUUAGAUUAUGUUAAGUUAAUUUUUAAUUAAAAUUCAUUCUCUUUUUUAUUUAUAUGUUGAUUUAAAAAAGCAAUUUUAAUAAUUUAAAGCAAGUUAAAUAGACUUGGAAACUUGUAUAAUUAUUCUUAACAGAAAUCAACAUAUUAUUUACUAAUGCUGUAAGAGGUGUAUCUUUUUUAAUUUAUUAUAUUUCUAAUAAAAUAGUUAACCUUUUUAACGUUUAAUUUUUUUAAUUUUUCAUGCGCCAAUGUCAAGUUUGAGACAAUUUAAAAAAGAAAUCCAAUCAAUUUCAAUUUUUAAUAAUUUUAAAAUUAUCAUUUUAACAUACGAAAACUUAUUAGCUUAUUCUUUUUAUAUUUAACCUCAUAAUUAUAUACCAAAAAAAGGAUAUGCAGUAUUUUAAGGAGACCCUAAUUCUCACUUAUGUCUUUAUAUUUAUUUAUUCAUUUUAAAAAUAAUCUUUUCUUAAUUUUUUUCUCUACAAAUUCUUUUAACAAAAAGCAAUUUACCUUUUCAAAAGAAAAAAAGGGAGCUUAAUAAUAGAAGAAUAUUAGAAACCAUUAAAAUUUACCCGACCCGAUAGAGCUGAAUCCGAAUACAAAAAAUGGAUCCAAAUGAAUGAAAUGAAGAUUGUGACUGUGUCAUGUGUGUAGGCUCUGUUUUGCUACCUUUGUCACUUCUCGCUCUCGUAAAACACUUAAUCCUUCCUUGCGGAAGCAGCCACCUUCAACAAAGGUGGCUCCCUCUGUGCGCACUAACCUCCCAUCUCACUUGGGUCACAGUCUUGUUAAGGCAGCUUUGAAUGUCGGUGAUUUAAGGCGUGCCCAACAACUGUUUGAUAAUAUUCCUCAACCAGACCCCACCACUUGUUAUACAUUAAUUUCAACUCUCACUACUUAUGGAUUUCCACAUGAGGCUUUAAGGAUCUAUGCUUCGCUUCGGGCACGUAGGAUCAAACCCCAGAACUCUGUGUUUCUGGCUGUUGCCAAGGCCUCUGGUGCCUCUGGUGAUCUCUUGAGAGUCAAGGAGAUUCAUGAUGAUUCCAUUCGAUGUGGGAUGAUUUCUGAUGUUUUCUUAGGAAAUGCAUUGAUUCAUGCCUAUGGGAAGUGUAGAUGCAUUGAAGGUGCAAGACAGGUUUUUGAUGAUUUGGUUGUGAAAGAUGUGGUUUCUUGGACCUCCAUGUCUUCAUGCUAUGUCAAUUGUGGAUUGCCCAGACAAGGCCUAGCUGUUUUUCACGAGAUGGGACGGAAUGGGGUGAAGCCUAAUUCAGUGACAGUGUCUAGCAUUUUGCCUGCGUGCUCGGAAUUGAAAGAUCUGAAGUCUGGAAGGGCUAUUCAUGGAUUUGCAAUGAGAAAUGGGAUGAUGGAAAAUGUGUAUGUCUGCAGUGCUCUUGUGAGCAUGUAUGCUAGAUGUUUGAGUGUUAAACCGGCUAGACUAGUUUUUGAUUUGAUGCCUCAUCGAGAUGUUGUGUCUUGGAAUGGAGUUUUAUCGGCAUACUUCACAAACAAAGAAUAUGAGAAGGGUCUUGCCCUGUUUUCCCAAAUGAGGAGCAAAGGAGUCAAAGCAGAUGAAGCUACAUGGAAUGCUGUUAUUGGGGGUUGCAUGGAAAACGGGAAAAUAGAGGAGGCAGUGGAGAUGCUUAGGAAGAUGCAAAACAUGGGAUUUAAACCUAAUCAAAUUACAAUUAGUAGUUUUUUACCGGCUUGCUCUCUUUUAGAAAGCUUGAGGAUGGGCAAGGAGGUACAUUGCUAUGUCGUUAGGCAUUGGUUAAUUUGGGACUUGACAACCAUGACUGCGGUGGUAUACAUGUAUGCUAAAUGUGGUGACUUGAAUCUUUCAAAGAAUGUGUUUGAUAUGAUGCACAGGAAAGAUGUUGUUGCUUGGAACACGAUGAUAAUUGCCAAUGCAAUGCAUGGAAAUGGAAAAGAAGUACUUUUGCUGUUCGAGAGCAUGCUUCAGUCAGGGAUGAAGCCCAAUUCUGUUACUUUUACUGGUGUUCUGUCUGGUUGUAGCCACUCAAGGUUGGUAGAGGAAGGACUCCAGAUCUUUAAUUCAAUGGGUAGGGAUCAUCAAGUGGAACCUGAUGCUAAUCACUAUGCAUGCAUGGUUGAUGUCUUCAGCCGUGCUGGUCAGCUUGAUGAGGCAUACGAGUUUAUACAGGGAAUGCCUAUGGAGCCAACUGCCAGUGCUUGGGGAGCACUUCUUGGUGCUUGUAGAGUUUAUAAGAAUGUGGAAUUGGCAAAAAUUUCAGCCAAUAAAUUAUUUGAGAUUGAACCCAACAACCCUGGAAAUUAUGUUUUAUUAUUCAACAUCCUUGUCACAGCCAAAUUGUGGAGUGAAGCUUCAAAAGCGAGAAUAUUGAUGAAAGAGAGAGGAGUUACAAAAACUCCAGGCUGUAGUUGGCUUGAAGUGGGAAAUAGAGUUUACACUUUUGUUGUUGGAGACAAAAAUAACAUGGAGAGUGAUAAAAUCUAUGACUUUUUGAAUGAGUUAGAUGAGAAAAUGAAAUUGGCCGGAUAUAAGCCUGACACUGAUUAUGUUCUGCAAGAUGUUGACCAAGAGGAAAAAGCUGCUAGUCUUUGUAGCCACAGUGAGAGGCUCGCUGUUGCAUUUGGGAUUCUUCAUUUGAAUGGACAGUCAUCUCUACGGGUUUUCAAGAAUUUGAGAAUUUGUGGUGACUGUCACAAUGUCAUUAAGUACAUUUCUAAAAUUGUUGGCGUGACAAUCAUCGUUAGAGACUCCUUGAGGUUUCAUCAUUUCAGAAAUGGAAAUUGUUCUUGUCAAGACUUGUGGUGAUUAUUUGAAUCAGGCUGUUGUUCUUCUCAGAACUUGUUGGAUAUGAUCUUUAAAUUCUUUUAGGUUCAACAGCGGUUUGGUCCGCCAUUAUGCCCAUGUCAGAUUCUUAGCAAAAAAUCAAAUUCCUCUCAAGAAAAUGCUUCGAUGAGGUUGCUUGCACUGUGCAUUCAUCAUGCAGUUAAAACAAUAUCGGAGGACCUUUUUCUGAUUAUUCUCCGUAUUUUGUGAUGAAAUAUGCUGAUUGCUUCAGUUAUAUAUGGAUAGAAUCGAAUAGACUGAAUGAAUAUAAGUUGAUUGCUUGUUGAAAUAAGUUCUGUGCCUGAACUUCCACUUCAUUGAAAGCCACCUUAGAGUUGCCUCUAUGGACGGAUGGCGUGCAGUGAGUACUCUCACCAUUGAAAACUGCAAUAUUUUUCUUUUGCUAGUUGCAACUUGCAACACCUCUUCCCAGCUUCAUAAUCUUCAUGCAGAGUGGAUGAUAUUUUCAGAGUGCUUCCAAACCAAAAAAUCCCUCCUUCAAUCAACUUCUUUUCAUCUAGAAGCAUCAUACUAAUUGCUCUCUGAUCCUCACUUACCAAAUUUAAUAGGGGUCAACUGCUAGCCUCAGCAACAGUUUCUUGACGCCUUUCUUGCUCCACCUCAUAUUUACCCAUAUCUGCAAGACAUAUAUCACUUCUUGGUUACAAAAAAUAUCCAGCAAGAGAAGCAUACCAACACUUAAUUAGUGGAAAAUUCAAGAGUUCAAUUUGCAGUGAUUUAUAAACCCAAUGAAAAGAUCUUUCACAAAUUUGUCAUAGUUGGAGGCUUACAAGGAGCCAAACUGGAAAAAUUUAGACACAUUUGUUUGAUUGUCUGUGCCACUUCUAUAAAAUAAUGCAGUAAUAUAUAUACAGAACUAGUGCAGAAAAGACAUAUUAUGACAGGUAAAAUGGACGUAUUAUGACAAGUGUUCUAGCAUUGCCUGAACUUUGUUUUUGAGUGAUUUUUCAAUUUUUUUCCUUGGAUGAGCAAGUUUUCUCAUCAUUGGUGGUGUUUAGUCCUUAGACGAGUGACUUUGCUCAUCAUUGGUGAUGUUUAGUACACUAAAAGACACCUUUAUUCUUCAAUAUUAGAGGCUAAAGCCUAGACAUGUGGUUUGAACAAAGGUGGGUCAAAACCAUGAGCAUUGAUGCCCAAGUUAUGCACUAGACACCACCAAUGAUCAGGAAACUCACUCAUCCAAGGAAAAACUUUGAAGAAAAUCACUCAAAAACAAAGUCUAAGAAACCUUGAAGAGUCUAGUUUUCCUAGCUGGGGAGCCACGUUCAACUUUUUGUACAACUUUCCAAAAUGUCUCUGAUAAUUGAUUAUAAGGACCUUGUAAUCGAUUAUCACGGCCUAAGUUGGACACUAAUGCUCAUGGUUAUGACCCACCUUGGUUCAAACCACCUAUUUGGGCUUUGGCCUCCACAAUUGAAUGAAGUAAGGUAUCUUUUGAUUCAUAAACACCACCAAUGAUGAGGAAACUUACUCAUCCAAGGACUAAACACCAAUGAAAUUUAGUACCGAGAGAGAAAAUAAAAAUGCUAAACAUUGUUAGAUUAUAGAGUAUACCCUUGUUAUUUAGGAAUUCUCUUUUAGACUUUACUGUUAUUGUAUUUUGAUCUUGAAAUUGGAAUAUUUGAUUUGGAUUUCUGAGAUUUUUUGUUCUUCGCAAUUGGAAACCUUUGAUGAUGGUGGUGUGAGAUGGAGCGGUGAGCAUUGAUGGGUUGCGGCCCAACUGACAUAACAAUGGUGAAAACAAAAACAAAAAAACACAAAAAGAAAAGAAAAACUCUUCUAGUGUCUCGGAGGCAAAAGCACACACUUUUUUACCUCCGUUCAUAACUCAUUGUAUAUGAAAAUAACCACUAACGGUUUUUUUACUGCUGAUAAUUGAUUCAAAAUUAAAAUUUAAGGUUUUAAAUUUGAGAAAUUAUUACUGUUAUUUAAAAACUAAAAAAAAAAUAUUUUUACUUUUAGAAUAAAUUAAUUUAAAAACAAAUCAAAUGGAUAAAAGAAUAAAAGAAUUGUUUAGAUAGACGAAUUUUUAGGUGAGUGUUUAAAUGUUUUUAUUAUUAAUAGCUAUAUAUAUUUAUAUAUAUAUAUAUAUAUAUAUAUAUAUAUAUAUAUAUAUAUUUUAAAUAAUAUUAUUUUAAAAACUGAUUAAGUUUGACUUGAUUGUAUAUAUUUUAUCUUUUUAUGUUUUUAUUUUAUAUAUAUAUAUAUAUAUAUAUAUAUCUAGGGNUAUAUAUAUAUAUAUAUAUAUAUAUAUAUAUAUAUAUAUAUUUUAAAUAAUAUUAUUUUAAAAGAUAAUUUUAAAUUUAAUUUAAUUUGUAUUUGUAAAUAUAUUUUUAAAUUUAAUUUUAUUAUAUAAUCAAAUAAUUAAAAAUUAAAAAAUGAUAAAAUUAAGAAUAAAAAGUAAGUUAAAAUUUAACUUUUAAAAUAGUAAAAUAAAUAUAAAUAAUAAAGUAAAUUAAUACUAAACAGUUUUUUUUUUCAUAAUAAUUUUACCUCUGGCUAAAGUUUUCCUAAACAAGGUUAACCUAACAUCUCUGGGUUUUCUAGUUGGAGAAAAAACUCACUAACAUUCUAGUUUUGUCCUUCAUCCACCACAUGUCACCAUUCACUACAUCCUCAACCUUUGUCACACACACUUGUCGCAUAACCAUGCAAAGAGAAAGCCACGUAUCACAGCAAUAAGGCAAUAAAGCCACCCAAUUCACCAUCAUCAUCUCUCAUCAUGCAAAUCUUCAACUGAAUAACAACAGAGUUGAGUAAAGCAAUAAUGGCGAAGAGCAAAGAUGACAUAAAGUAUGCAACAGCACAGGCAAGGCUUUCAGAAGAUGAAGCAGUAAGGGUGGCGUAUGUCAACGGCACUCCCCUUGAAGGGGGAAAGAUCUCUGAUUCUCAACCAGUUGAUAUGUUUGCAAGUGCACGCAAUGUUGCACCAAAAGAUUCAAACGCUGAUAAUAAUCAAUCUCAGAUGCAGAAAAGUCGCAGACCAGAAGAAGCUUCUUCUGCAGAAUUCACCAGGGAUAAACUCUGAACGCCAUUAACGACACAACAACCUUAAAACUUUACGUGUGUGUGGUUUUGUAGUCUUUCUUGAUCCUUUGUUUCUUUCUUUUUGGUUUUGAUUUUUCCCAGUGACGUGCAUGGCAUGUUAUCAACAAAGAAUGUGAUGACUUCCUAAGUUUUUCUAAUAAAAUAGAGGUUUUUUUCAGACUAUUCCAUUUUUUUUCUUUCAUAUGAUGUUUUGCAUGCUUGUUUGAAAGCUUUCUACAUAUUGAAGAAGAGUGAAAAGUCAUCAUAUAUGGUGAAUUCAAGAAGAGUGCAUCAAUUUUUAUAUAGUGUUAUAUAUAGUGUUACUUUGAUAAUGUUAUGGGACGAUUUUAAAUUAAAAAAAUAUUAAAUUAAAAGAUUUUUUUUUAAAAGAAAAUUAAAUAUUUUUUUAAUUUGAAAUCGGGUAUAAUUGUUACAUGUGAAUUAUCAAAAUGGUAUUAAAAAAUUAAUAUUAAAAUAUCAUUUUCCGUGAAUUUAAGUCUGCACUCGGGCUUUGAAGAGAAAAAACAACAAAAAGAAAAAGCUAGAAAAAAAGCUAGGAAGGAUACGACUUAUCGCGUCAACUAUAUAUUUCUUUUAUUAUAAUAAUUAAAAAUAAUGUUUAUCACAAUUAUUAAAAAAUGAGAUCUAAAGUAAAUAAUUAUUAUAAUUUUAUUAUAUUUUUUUAUUAUAGAUAAUAAACUUGAAUUUAUAAAAAUAUAUAAAGAAAAGAUAGUAAAAAGUUUAUAUUAAUAAAAAUAAAAUCAGUGAAUAGAAAAAAACUAACACUAUUAAUAAAUCAAUAAUUUUUAUUGAUAAAUAUAGAUUAUAGAUAAUAAAUAAAUAAAUUUAUUUUGGUUUACUCGAAAACCUUGUUUAUUUUCUCUUUAUUAAUGCACACCGAGACUUGAAAAAGGAGAAUAAUCAGAUACAGGCUUUUCUCACUCCUCCCUCUCCGUCACACCAUCACUUACCUCCGUUAAUCGAAUCACAAUGGAAACUCACGAAAACGACAGCGUCGUCAUCGAGGCGGAGCCUUCCACUUCCCACGCUCCCGACGGCGAAGAUCCCCUCCGUCAGAGCUCCGAAGUGUUGGCGAGAGGCUUGUCUUCCAUGCUCUCUUCCGUGAUUACUGAUUUCGAUUGCAGAGCUAACCAAACUCUCCGAAGCCAGGACCACCUCUCUUCCGUCCUCGAUCGUCUCACUGGAGGUUUAUCUUUGUUUCUUCUUCUUCUUCUUGUUUUUUUUUUUUUUACAACAUUGUGCCAGGUUUGUUAUUUGUCUUUGCCAACGAUUCAAUUUACAAGCAGUGCAUUGCAAGUAGUUUUAUUUUUUCCCUUUAUUUUAUUAUCUCUAUAGUUAUCUGUUGAAUUGGUUGAAAAUUGGAGUUAGUUCUAUGGUUGGUUAUAGUUAGUUGAAUAUGAGGCUCUUGUGUAUCAACAGGGUCUUGCGUUCCCUUAAACACGUAAGUUUUGGUAUGCACAUUUGAAAUAUAUUUGUUAUACAAAAUGGUCAACCUCUUAAAGUGAUCUCAGUUUUUCCAGAGAUUAGUCCUUAGCCCCUGCACGAGGAUGCCCUGGUUCACCCAAACAAAAUUAUCAUAUAAGGCUCUUCUGUGUAAUUGUAGUUUUCUUUAUCUUUUCAAUUCAUAAUACUUUUAUGAUAUUGCCAUUGCUUUUCUGAUUAUUAUUAUUAUUUUUUAUUUGGGCGUAUUAGUUUGAGAGUGAGUUUUGUUAUGGCUUUUGGAAAUUUAACAAACUUUGUUUGUGAUUGGGGACAUAGGCCUAGAGCAUGCUUGUAACAGGUUCUUUAGGGUUCGGGCAGUCCAUAAAAUAAGCUAAUCUAAUCCAAACGUUAAGUCAGCUUACUUGGUGAAUUGAGGUCCAUGUCAAAUUGCAUGUAUAUUGUUAGUGAACUGAUCAAGUGAAUUGCUCAUGCGAAGAAAUUCCUUGUGUUCUACUUACUAUAUGAAAUUGUGAAGUAGUAGCUCUAGUACUAAACUGUAACACUAUUGUGUUCAACUUACUAGUGUCCCAAAGAAGCUCAUUAUUGUACGGAUGGAACUAAUACCAGAAUAUGCACUUUUGUGGAUAUACAACAAACACAGGUGAGGUUUUUCUCAUGGUUAUCGAUAUCAAAUAGCAGCACAUAACAACCAUCCUCACAAACACUGUAUUGAGAUAGUGGAUUGCAGGAUCCCAAUAUUGAUUCAAGGUAAAUAAUUUAUACCACACAUAUAUUAAUACUAAAAAACAAAAGAUUAAAAAUUCAAAGAUAUUUAUAUUUAAUAAUCGAAAAACACAUUCUUAAGCUAAGCACAUUAGUUAAUCAGAACAAAAAUCAAGAAAUCAAGUGUGAUUUUCUAAGCAGAUGAUACUAUUAUUGCUUCAGGGUGAAAUUGAAGUUUUAAUAAAACAGAAUAAUUAGGCACAAAACACAGAUAGAACAGAAGGGGUGAUCAGUAGACUAAGGAGUACUUAGGAGGAGGACACAAGAGAAAAAAUAAACAGGGUUGAGUGACAAAACAGAAGCAAAAAAGGGCAAGAACCUUAAGACUUUUGUGAGAACUGAAAGCAAUAAAGGAAGUGCACACGAUUGAUGAAACAGAGUAUGUAUAAAACAGAAAAGUGGGUAAGCCUAGUCUUUGCUGAAAAAUGCUUGGCCUGAAAUUAGGGAUGUAAAAAAUGGAGCCAAACAGAUUUUAAACGUCAAACCUGAACCAAAAAAAAGUUAAAACUUGAUCAAACCAAAACCGUAAAAGGAACAACUUUUAUUGUGGUUUACAUUGGUUUUUUCACUUGCUGUUAAAACUAAACUAAACCAAACCACUCCAAUAAUGUGCUUAUAUUAUUUGUAGCAUUAUGUAAUGGUAUUUUGAAAUUAUGAAUGAUAAUAUGUGGGUUGGAGAAUAACAUUGACUAUAUAUGACUAAUUGAUUGUGAAUGGUUCAUUACAUACUUCUUCAUAUUUAUAAUGGGUGUUGAGGAUCUUACAUUGUCCUGAGAUAUGGUCAAAUUAUGUCAAAUUAUAAUAUACAACUGAGGUGCAAUAUUCACCUUUCAAACAAUUUUGAGAAGUUAAAUUAAGCUUAAAGUCCACUUUUUAAGAAUAGGUUUGUGAUGCAAUUAUUAUCAUAUGUUUCCUUCUACUUCUCUAUUACUUAUGGUUAUGUAAAUAAAAUGUUCAAGGGUUAAUCAUGAUUCAAUUAGUUAUCAGAUUCCACACUAAUUUGUUGGUUGUUAUAUUGAAGAUAUUUCAAAAGUCAAUUUGUACCUAUUUGAACCGCAAGAGAUUAGUUUGUUUUAGUUUGGAUUCAAAACUGCCUUCAAAUCAAACCAUAUUGAACCCUAUAUACUUUUAUGUUUGGUUCAAAUCAUUUUUUGUCUAAAAACCAAACCAUGAAUGACCCCGCUAAAUCCAGCAAGCGCUUGUUGAUUUGUGUCAAAACAGGCAAGAAAGCAAUUCAUGUUGCAUGAAUAAAGCUUUGAACAAGGUUUCUGAAUACCAUCCCUGACGCACAGUGAAAUAAUGGAACUCUGUAAUCGGUUUCAGCUCUUACAGCCACUACGGAGAACUGCUCCACUAUUUUGAUUCUGUAGUGACCAAGGCUGCUCCAUAUUGCCACUGCAGUGAACUACUGACUAUUACUUUGCUAUACGGUCAAGAGAGAGAACAGUUGAUCACAUUAUUUUUCUUGUGGUUCUUAGGUUUGUCUCUCCAGAUGCUUUGGAAACGUUGGAAACAAUUUAAACCUGAGUCUUGAGCGAGAAAAGUAGGCACCUUUAGUACUUGAUCAUAACUUUUAGCCUCAAUCUCUCUAACCUUUAUAUUUUGGAAACUUGGAAAAGCCUUGAAGAGAAGAAAGUAUUGCUUGUUAUUAUAAGUAUACUGGAAGAUGGAAGAAUGUGCAAUUCAUGAAGAUGCAUUGUCUAGUGUACUGGAGGUGCAUGGGAUUUUGAUUUCUGUGGUUAGACUUAGAGUUUUUGUUUGUCGCAUAGUAUCUAAAGUUGCACAAUAGUUAUAGUCUAAUUUUAUGCAUUUGCUUGCUUUAGUUGCUAUUGGAAGAAGAAUUUAUCUGAUGCAGCUGCUAGAUACAAUUAUUGGACACUCUCAAAUAAUGUUUGCAUUACGAUUCUGUUAUUAAUUUAGCAUGAUGCAUAUACUGAAAUAAGCAAGUUAAGCCGGAAAGUUAUAUGCUCCUGAUGGGCUAAUUGAUUCCAGUUUUUUCUUUCUUAAAUUACUGUUUGCAACUGACAAUUCUGUUGUUAAUUGGGUUUGAUACCUUUGUUUAACCCUCUUAUAAAAUUCUUAUGUUGGAAACAGUUAUGCCAAUGAACUAUGUGGUCCAUAUGGGCAAAAUUCUGUAGAGGGUUGAUUUCAUAGCCGGGGGGGGGGACGUUUUACACAGAAAAGUUGAGAUCUAUUUAAAUUAAUGUCUUGGUUUGAACAUUUAUUUUAAAACUCUAGAGAAGACUUCAUUCCAUGUCAGUGAAAACAUCUAUGGUAUAGUGUAGCAUACUUUUUGAAAGAUGCUUUGCUUAACCUCCAUAAAAGAGUGUUUUACUAUCAAGUGUUGAAAACAGAGCGUGAAAGUUAUAUGUGUAUAAAGCCAAUUAGAUAUUCCACUGACUUUAAAAUGUAAAAUAAACUACACUCCUCCCAAGAUAACUAACCUAUAUACUUGUCUGCAUUAUGACAAAAUUCUAGUGCUCUUGUAGUCUCCCUCCAUGUUGUCUUCAUUAGCAUGUCAAACUUGUGGCUAUGGUAUACAAGUUUUUCCUUUGCUAACAUGCUAUAAUUUCUGUUCAGUCCUUCAGUCACGCUUAAUCUUAAUGCCCUAACUAAAGAUUCUCCUAUUACUUUAAGAUGUCUUAAUUUCUUAUUACCCUAGGUGUCCAGUUUGCUGACCUGAAAUUCAUCUUUUUCUUUGGCAGAACUUGAUCAGUUGCUUGAAGAUGCACCUUUGCCAUUCAUAAUGCAGCAUGCUGCCAAGAUUUCCAGUGUUAGGAAAAGAGUUUCAUCCCUGAAUUCACUUCUAAAGUCCAUACAAGGGCGGAUUGAUAAUAUAGAUCGCAUGAUAUCUUUUGGUACUGCUCAUGGUAUAGACAUAUCUCCAGAGACUUUAUUUCAUGGUUGUUUUCUAAUAAUUAGUAACUUAGUAUUGGAUUUUUUUUUUGCUUUUGCUGGUCUCCGCCCCUGUGUAUGCUCUCUCCCUUUAGUCAGUUUACAGUUUUAUAUCUCUGUGCAAAGUUUAAAUAAAAUUUGCACUCAAACUUUAAAUAAAAUUUGCACUCAAACUUUCUGACCAUUUUUGUCAACAAUCUAUAUCCGAAAGGUUCUAGAUGAAUUUACCAGUCAUUGUUACAUAUUUCAUCAUGACAAAAUCAAAAAAUAAAAUUUGCACUCAAACUUUCUGACCAUUUUUGUCAACAAUGUAUAUCCGAAAGGUUCUAGAUGAAUUUACCAGUCAUUGUUACAUAUUUCAUCAUGACAAAAUCAAAAACUGAAGCAUGUGAGAUUAUAAUUUUCUUCCUUAGUAGGGGCAAGUGACUCUGGUCAAAUGAUUUCAAAUAUGUGCUAUUGUACUGCAGGAAUUUUGUUUUGCUUUAUUUAAAUUUCCUUAUUAUUGUUAUUAAUAUAAUUGUUAUAUUUGCUUUUAUAAUCUCAAAUAGCUUGUGCCUCUGUGCUUGUGUUAAGUUGUCCGAGAGUCCAGGUUUAGCUUGUCAACUGUCAAAGUGUAAUCUUCUCGGCUAUAUUUAAACCUUGGCUGCAAAUUUUUCCUCUAUUAAAUGAAUUAGUAAAAGCUCUCUUCCACGUAAACACCACCGAAAACUAAUACUUUGUGCUAUAUAUAUUUGAAGUUAAUAGUUCGUGUCUUUCACCACUUUCAUGCAAACAAGUUAUAAGCUGAACUACAUCAGUUUACAUCACUGUGUACGACUUAAGGAUUCCUCUUCUUAGCCUAGCUCAUAGCUCUGACCUGGUUUCCUCUUUGUUGGAGAAAGCUCCCUGACAACUUUUUCUUUACUUUACAAUCGAGUUUUAUCCUUUAGGCUUUAAGAGGAACUGUUGAAUCCACAUACACUUGCCAUGAGAGAACUGGAAUCAAUCACUCUAGCUGGCAUUUUCCAGAUCAAUCAUGGAGUCAUUGUGAUAGUUAUCUUAUCGAGCAGACCACAAGCAUCACGGCUGUUCUGGCCUGAUAAGGAAAGUGGUCAGUAUCCACUGUAUGCUUAAAUCUGCUUCUAGGGCCACUGAAGAUUUUGACAACCUUCUUAGUGAUGAUAUCUACUGUAGCUUGAGCUGAUUAGGAUUGACUACUACUAGACAAAUGAUCAGAAGUCCUAGCAUGUGACAAUCUGAAUUGAUAACUUGCCAAAGUGAGCGCUUUGCCUUUUUAGUUGACAGGAAGGUCGAGCUUGCAUUUUGCAUAAGAUUUUUCGCAACAAGCAGACAAGAUAGUGAUUUUUUUUUUUAUUUACAGUGGCUAGUAGUUGGAUAAAUAGUUGUCAAAGAACUCCGAAGACUAAAACGAGGAUGAAUGAUUUGUACUCCAUUAGUUAGCCUUGACUUAAUUAAUAAUAUGCAUACUUCAACCUUCUUUUGAAUUCCCAUUCUUAUACCAACUUAUUUUGUGUGCAAUUUUGCAGAGAAAAACAACCAAUGAAGUUCUUGGUUAAAUGUCGUCAGAAUAAGCAGCUUCCAUUCUUCCCUCAUGUACUUAAUAUGUAAUGUAUCCUUGAAUUGAAUUCUUAUUGUCAAGCACAUACCAGCUUAGUGCCAGUUAAGGAGUAAGGAUUUUAGAAUAGGAAUCCAGUAACAAGCUGUAUUUGGGUUACUUUUGACACUUCGUGUUCAAAGUCUCUAGUAAAAAUUCAUUUCAUUCAUUAAGGAAUUCUUAUUUUAAACUGAAAACCUGUCUUAAAUGAUAAAUUUUAUAUUAACAAAUAUAAGAAUUGGAAUAUUCUAUUACCUUCGAUAGUAUUUACAAGUAGUCAUUUUAUUUCAAUUUUAUGCUUGUCUAUACCUAUCCCAUUCCCUGCUUUUAGGAAAUGGGGGAAAAUGAAGAAAGCAGGAAGCCAUAGCAUGGUGGGGCUACUUAACAGGUUCCUCAUCUAAAUUAGCAUACGUUGUUUCUUGGUAAUAAAUCGGGCCGUUUGAUUCAUUGAACGUGUGAGACAGAGUCUGCAAAUGCAACCCAAUUCCAUCGAACUAUUGGCACCUUCUAGACCAUCUAGAUGCCUAGAAGGUGAUAUAUAGUUGUAAUAUUUUCAAGACGUGCAUUGUUUAUAUAUAAAUACUGAAGAUUGGAACGAUAUGGUGACACAUGCAAAAUUUGCCUAGCAUUACCAGAUCUUAUUUCCCGAAGCAAGUGGCCAGAAUCAUGCCUUUGUUUGCUGUUGUCGUUUUGCUGCACCACUGAGUGAAGUAGAAAAGGAAAGAAAGGAAAUAACAUAACAUCUCAGCUCCAACCAAAGGUUCUUCUGAUUGAGGUACAGUAAAACCGUAAAAAGUUGUCCAAUGCAUGCAGUACUAAAUUCCAAAGGGACCCAAGCCCAUUGCAGUUUUUAUGACAUGCGCUAACAUAACAACAACAAAUUAUCCUUGACAGUCCAGCUCAUGAAGAUACUGUGAUGUAACUCCAGUAGUUCACAUGCCCCCACACUGUAGUACGGACUUCACAGGUGGUGGUAGCAUUAUUCUAUUUCUAAAACAUCCAUCCUCUCACCUGCUCUUCAAUCUUACAAGGGGGACCUGCAAUGUUGAUGAAGAUGAGGACAGAGAUAUGUUCCCAAGUCAGUCAUCUCUUCCUUCAAAUUUCUUUCAUGUCAAAAAGUAGAAGGACUAAUACUAAUAAUUGAAAUGAAGUGAUGAAUGGAGUGAUUAAUUUAAUCAUAUGUUCCUUCUUUUUUAACUGUUUUAUCUUUCACUAUACAGAAAUUAUUUGUUAUUUGUGUCUGCCCUUCUCAUCUUUAGAUUCUCAUCCUUUUUAGCCGUUAGCAUUUUAGCAACAGCACCCUCCUUUUCUCAUCCCUUUUGUGCACUGACCCAGUGACCCACUCCCUAUGCAAGAGAGAGGGGAGGGACGGGGGAGGGGGUUGGGGUUGGCAGUGAUGCAUAUGAUAGGGUAAAAGGGAUUGGAUGAGGGGGAAUCUGUGCAGAGACCCAACUGUACAUAAGCACGUUCUCUCUUUGAUGCCCCAAAACUCUCCCAUCAGCCUUUUGCAGGCUCCCUUAUUAUUCAACAAACAUAUUGUUUUCUUUAUGAGACACAGAAAAUCAGAGGAAGGAGAUCAUGCUUUAAAUACACUCCCUCCCUCCUAUUAAAUAAUACUACUAGGUCUACUAGUAUUUAAUUAAUGUAUUUAAUGGUAGGGCUUUCAUUAAUUAACCUGAGGUUGCUUUUCAGCUGAUUUAGCUCGCAAGAUAGAGAUGAUUGCACCUAUCCAUCCUCAUCUCCAUAUAAAGCAAAAGAGAGAAAGUAAUGACAAAGUUGAGCUCAGUAACCAAAACAACCAAACUAUUAUAAGUCACGUCAUACAAUCCUGACCUCGCUGGCUGGCUUGCUGGCUUUCGUAAUGAAAUUAAUUAAGAAUACGAAUAAACUAGCAAAAUUGGCAAGAAUCUAGGGGUUAUUUGGACUUAGGGAAUACUACUAAAAUUACAACCACAUGCACUUCCCUCCACAUGAGAAAAGACACAAGUAGCCUUGCGAUGCUGCAUUGGGACACAGUAAACAGACACCGGCAGCGUGACUAUAAAAAGAAGUGUUGGUAGGUGCAUCCAUUUUCACGUUGUCACAAAGCCCAAACUCUAAUGGGAACAAAUGUGGUAUUAUAAUGGGGACUACUCGCUUAGGACUGGUCAACACAGCUCACCCAUAUCAUAUCAUAUCAGAUGCAUCAAAAUCCGAGUAUGGACGAAAAAGCCUAUAAAUAUAUAAAAAGAAAAAGAAAAGAUGAGCAAGAUGGCUCAUCAUGCCUGCAAUACUGCCUAGGUAGGGUUUUCAGGUUUUCACGCUUUUCUUCAUUUCUACACACUAUGGGGUGCAAUAAAUUGCUCCACUCUCCACCAUUGCAUGCCAUGCACCCUCUAUUGUCACAUUAGUUUUAUGUAUCAAAAAGCAAUAUAGUAUCAAACCUUAUAAGUUAUAUUAUAACCACUAAGAUUUUUUUUUAAUUUCUUUGUUGAUGAGAAUUAAUUAUUUAUAUGGAUAUGGACGAAGAAUAUUCUUGGAGCACUGUGUUAUAUGGGGGUGGAAUAGGUAUAGCAUGAUGUGCAACGGCUUGAAUGGGAAAGUGUCGAAUCAAUACAGAACCCCAAACCCCCAGGGCAUGCGCUCAUGUAAAAGAUAGAACACCACUUCCACAACUACAAUUGAAUUUUGUGAAAAAGCCAACACAAGUCUAUUGUUUACCCAAUUAAUAACAUCGAAUUAAUUAUGCCAACAACAAUUAUUUUUCUUUCAAUUUUGAAAGGAAAACAUCUAUACCUCACCCAUCGCUUUACUCAUUCCUAGUUGAACGUAAGAGGUCUUGGUAUUAUUUUGUUAUAAGGACAACAGAAGUUGUGAAGCGAAUUAUAUAGAGUUUAACAAAUAAAAGUUGCCUCCACCAUUAUAGACAGUGAUGCAGACAAGAUUCAUUUUACUUAUUUAUUUAUUUAGAGAAUUAAAAGUGAUCACGCUCUCUUCACAUGGGUUUUGGCUUUUAUGGUGGCUAAUAUAGCCUGAGAGUAUGACAACAUGUUAGCCACGUGAUUAUAGACCAUUCCUAACUACUAAAAAAUUUAAACAAGCAUCAUUAUUUUAUAUCUCCUUGGUUGGUGCACUUUUGGUUGCCGUUGCUGAAGAGUUGUUUGUUUGAUCGCAGCUUGGUACUAGUGGAGUACAAGAUGCGUGUGCAAAGGAUACAGAUGUAUAUAUAUGGAUCAUGAAGUUUGGGAUUCGGAAAUGGGAAUAAAUGGAUCAUGAACCGAGGCAACUAAACCGACAGAGGGUCCAAUCUAAUUAGGAGUUUAAUCCCCAAGAAUAUAAUUUGAAUAUGACCAAGACCCGUGAUAGUACCACGGAACUAGAACCAUUUACUAACAUCAUAAAGGAUGGAUGGAAAAGGCGAAGGGGUCCAAAGCCAUUCAACUUUUCAACAUAUCCCUUCCCUCAAUUAUGCACUUUGCUUAUACCAAAUAUCAAAUUGCUUCUAGCAAACAGGAAAUGGUCCUACCAUAUCUAAUUAACAACGGACCCCAUCACCUCCAUGACUCAUAUCGUUUCAUCCAUCAUCAAGUGAACAAAAAACUUCAUCCAACAACAAACAUAGAUCACCCAAUUUGAGGGUGUUCUGUUCCACCCCUCCAUCAAUAUCUCGGACGCACACAAAGGGCAAAUUUAAUAGUGAAAUCAUGUUAGAUUAUUCAUUCAAGCAUCAUAAUCCCUUCUGGGAAACUCAUUUCAUCUCCAUGAUCAAAGUACACACAUCUUGAUUAAAAGAAUUAAAAAGAUAGUGAGAACAACACUGCCCCCACCCUAUUGAAUCUUCCAUAAAGGUCACACACUCAGCUUCAGGUGUGGACCACCCCCAAACUAAUUCCACCUAAGAAAAAUAAAACACAAUAUCCGUACACCACACAUCAUAGAUUUAAAAAUAGACCAUAAUUGGUCACUUAGAUUUAAUUAAAACUUCACUGUAAUAAGGAUUGGGAUCAGACUGACGUGCAAAUAAUAAUUCAGCAGAGCUGGCGCCUCUGUUUGAAUUUUUGGCAUCAUUUCCCAAAACCCUUUACAACAUAGAAAAAAAUAACCACAAAACAAAAUCCACAAACAGACACGAGAUAAACUCAACAUGUUACCCCAACAGAUCUCCAAAUAUUUUAAUUAAUACUACUAAAAAAAUCACUUUUUACUUCCAACUAUCAAAUUCAGAAAAACAAAAUAACAGCGCCGUAAAAAACCAAAGAGCUCACUGUUUCAAACACAGUAACGGGAUCUUUUAUCAAUUAUCAUCAUGCUGAGAAAACAACAAAGGGCAUCUAAAAAUCCAUCGAACCCCACCUCGCGUAUUUACAUUAAUCAUCCUAAAACUUUAACAAAAUCAAAUUAAAUGAACCAACCAACCAAACCCCCAAAUCAACACCGUGCCUCUUCCUGCAAUAUUUCCAUUCCGGGAUUAGAUAAAAACAAAACAGAGAGAGAUAUGGGUUGAUCAAGUGGCAAAAAGGGUGAAAAAAAAACCAAAAAAAGCCUAGUCAAUAAUGUUACCCUUUUUUCUUCAUCUAAAGAAGGGUAUUUACGUCAAUUCCGAUUACUCCUACCACUUUGGUGAUGCCCCCUGCUGUUACUCCCCGUCGUUUCUUUCUUCUGCGGCGAAGAAAACAGUUGCCCGAACCCGAAAACAGAACCGGAUUUGGACGCGCCGCGGAGGGAGCAAACGGGGACGUUGAGAACGGGCGUGACUCUGACGUUAGCGGAAUAAGAACGUUCCAUGCCACGGUGCUUGAAGCGGGGCCCACCGUUGAAGGUGCUGGGAGAACUCGAGCUUCGUUCCAAGCUCUGGAACACGAUUUUGCCCGAAGAGUUCAUUCUAGGGCUGUCCACAGAAACGCCCCUACACCCCACCGUUUCCGGUUCUCUCCGGAUCGGACUCCUCCCAGGGCGGGAAGGCUGAUCCAAAACGGUUUUGUUGGAGUCAAAGGACCCAGCGCGCGGUUUGACUAAUCGGAUUCUAGGGUUAGGGUUUCUGUGGAUCGAGAUCUGGCUGAGGUUAGGGUUUACAUUUGAGGUCAUAUUGGUGUUAGGGUUUGAUUUUUCGGAAUCGAGCGAGAGGCGAGGGAGGUCGUCGUGGUCGUGGCUGGACGAGGAGGAUGAGAGAGAUAGACGAGAGGAGAUCGAUAGGGAUUCGGCGUCACAGGAGUUGGUAAGAAGUGGGGCGUUUUCGGAGCUGGUAGAAGACGACACCGUUUUGCGGUGUAGGAGGUUUUUUAGAGAUUUGGAAGUAGUGGAAGGGGAGGGUUUGGUAGGGGUGGUGGUGUGGUAGAGUUUUUUUAGGCCGAGGAGGUCUUUCCAGCGGGAGGAACAGCGUGGGGCUUUGGGGGAGAAGACAUAGGGGUCAGUAGCCGUAGUGGCGGCAGUGGAUGAAGGGGAUUUGGGAGUUUGAGGGGAGAUUGUUGCUGUUGCGGCGUUGGUUAGCGUUAGGGUUUGGAAGGUGGUGGUGGUGGUGGUUGUGAUGGUUGGGGUUUUGAGGUGAAGAGGGACAAGUUUUCCGUCGGAGAAAAGCUGGUCGGCGGGGAGCAUGGUGGCGGGGGAAUCGAGGGGGAACUCGAAGUCCGGUUCGGGUUCGGAUCCUCGAGGUGAGAGCCAGGGAGGGAGGUCGAGGAAGGUUGUUUCCGGCGAGAUUGCUAUGUUGUUGACGCAGGCAGAAGCCAUUUUGAGAGGAUCAUGCAACGGAGUUUUUGUUUUGUGAGAAGUUGCAGAAUGAAUGAAAGAAGAAGAGGUUAAGGUUAAGGUUAAGGUUAACAAUGGUGGGUGGCAGAAGAAGACGUAUAUAUAACAGUUCUCUCAGCCUACAUGGAAACUAGGGCCACGUGUCACCCUCUUUUUUCUCUCUCCCCUUUCACCACAAAAUUAAAAUAUUCACUUCAUCAUUAAUACUAAAGUUUCUCCUUUUAUAUUAUUACAAUCCAAUUCCACACACUUCUCUUUGUUUACAUAAAUGAACCUAUUUAUUUAUUAUUUAUUUGCAGAAAUUAUUUUGAGGUUGAAGCUUAUCUCAUGUUUUGUUUGAUGAGUCAAUUUUCAUUUCCAAACCUUGUCCCAUUGCUCUUAUCCUCUUAAGCCCAUUUCUUUUUAAAUAAAUAUAUUUCACACAUAUUAAUUUUUUAUAUUUAUUUAACAUUAUUUUUUUUACAUCUUAUUUUUUUCUUGAAAAAAUAUAAAAAUUUAUUUUUUUACUGUAUUUUAUCUUUAUACUGUAAAAUAUGUUAUUUUAUCAUUACUUUUCUUUUUUAUAUUUAAUCAAUUAAUACAAUAUCAUUUUCAAAGUUCUAUCUAAUAUAUUUUCUAUAAUUAAAAAAAUAUGUAUAAAUAAUAUUAAUAAUUUACAAUUAUCUUGAAGUCAUGUUAAUUUAAAAUUAAUUCAAAUAUUUAAAAUACUAAAGGUUUUAAUUAAUAUUUAAUUUCAACAUUUUAGUAUUAUUAAAAAUGUUACAGCAUUCAUAUUUAUGACCAAUCAGUAAUAAUAAUAAUUAUUAUUAUUUCAACAUUAUUGUAGCAUAACUAUAACAAAGUAAUGAACAAUGAUAUUUAGGGUGAAUAUAAAUUAUUUUACUUAACACCUGUUAUUAUUAUGGUAUGUUAAAAAUAAUAAUUUAAUUAUUAUUAAAUAAAAAAUGUGUGAUUGACUAUUAUUAUUAAUUUAACUUUAUUUUGUUAAUAAAAUUAUAAGUCUAGUAUUAAUUAAAAAAUAGUAUUUAAAAAUAUUCAAUGUAUAUUAAAGUUAUAAAUAAUAUUAUAAAUAUAUGGAUAAAUAUGGUAUAACAUUAUAAAUAUAUUGUUAUUAUUAAAUGUAAUUUAUUAUUGAUAAUAAUGUAGAUAUAAUAUUUAUUACAUAAAAUAAAUAUAUUAUCAAAGUUACAUUAAUAAUAUUAAUUACAUAUAUUUUAAUAGUGUAAGAAUUUAGAAAAUAGAGUAUUAUAAUAUAUAAGUGUAUUAAAAUUAUGAAAUCGAAUAUUUUAUUUUAAAAUAAUAUUAUAAUAUGAAUAGAAUUUUCUAAAGCUCGAUUCAUUAUCUAAAAUAUAUGUAUUUCUCUAAUACAUUAUCCUCUUUGUUUUCUCUCACUUCUCUCCAAUCUUUUUCACUCUUGGAUCAUUUGUUCGACAAUAAAGAAGUUUCUAGGUGAUCCUGGCGUUGAGGGUUACAAUUCCUAUCGAUCAAUUUCUUGAUUUGAGUCGAAAAGUUCAUUUCUCUUUUUCUUGGUGAUUCUUGACUCUUGAUCAUGCAAUGGAUUCUGUUUGCAUGUAUCAACUAGUCUUCCUCUUUGAUUCUUUACUCCAUCUAGGUCCUAAGAUUGGUUUGCUAUCAAUAAUCAGUGAGUUAUAGGCUUUCUUAGAGUUUCCUUGCGAUGCAAGCAUCGAUCAGGGUUUUUGUAGAGUUAUCCAAAUUUCUCUGAGGUAAGGGAAGCUAGAGUUGCUUUGAUUUAGAAUUUGUUGUGUAUGUAUGAUGAGUAUGUGAGUAAUGAGCUGGUUGAACUAAAUUUCUGUUUUUAAGAUAUAGGUGAUGUGUAAUUUAAAUGUUGUAGUGUGCCAAUUGAUGAACUGUAAAAUUAAACUUGAUUGGAUGUUGUUUGAUCUGUUAUACGUGGUAUGAAAUGUUAGGAAGUUGUAAUUAUGUUGAUUUUGUUAUAAAUAAAUCCAUAUGGUUAUGGUUAUAAUAAGUUUUAGGAAGUGGAAAAGUGAAAACGAGAAUUUAGGGUUUAGUGUGCAAUUGGUCCGUGGGGAUGGUUUUGGUAAGUCUAAAUUGGACUGGGUUGAGCUCAUAAGUUGCUCAAAAAUGUGUCAAAAGUAGUAGAAUUUGAUUUAGGUCCAUAAGUUGAUGAAUUUGAUGUUUUGAAGUAGAAAUUUCUUAGGAAACACUUUAGAAUGAGGUUAGAAAGGUUUAGACACACUUAGUCAAGUAUAAUUAGGUAUAUAACACAAUAUAGGAGGGUUAGAAGUUGGGAAAAAUAAUUGGAAUAGGUAAAUUUAUGUAAUUUACGUAAUUCUGCAGAUUUUGUGUUGCAUAUUAUGCAGACUCAUUGAGCGAGUAGAGUCACUCAACGAGUGGUUGUAGAGGUUGACUCACUGUCUGAGGAUUCGCACAACGAGGAGGUGCGUUGAGUGAGUGGUUGAGGUCUGAGAGCACUGUCAAUUUAAUUUGAUCAGCGAAUGAGUAUGCUCAGUGAGUGAGUUAGGGGUCUGGACCUCUAUCUGGACCUUCGUAUAGCGAGUUGGGGACGCUAAGCGAGGGGUUGAGGUCUGGUACCACUAGUAUUUGAAUUCGCUUAGUGAGAUUCGCUUAGCGAGUUGGGUCGCUAAGCGAUUAGUUUGGAGGUUGGGGCACUAUUAGUGGAUUUGCACAGCGAGCUGGGUGGCUGUGCGAGUAAAGUUUGUGGUCGCUCAACAAGUGUAUGCAUUGAGCGACUGUCCCAAAUCAUCAUGUAUUCUCUUCUUAUUUGUUCUUUAAUUGGUUGGAGUGAUGAAAUUGAUUUGUUUGUGGAUGAUGUAUGACUAUGUACGAGUAUUAUAAAAGUAUCAAAGUAAUGUUUAUUGUUCCAAAUGGCGUGGAAGAGAAUUCCAAGGAGGAAUUUAUCAAUGAUGUUUGUUAAAGUUUGUAAGUAUGAAUAUGGGAAGCUCAGUCUUAGAGCUCAUCCUGACAUUCUAAUGGUCACUUAUUCUCAAUUACAGAGGAGUGAGGCAAGUUGUGAGAAUAGAAUGAGGUCCUAGCCUAGGGGCAUUUCCUUGGCCUAAGGUGAGUGAUAACGGACUAACUUUGUGUGGUAGCUUGGGAUGGGUCAACUGUUUUACCACAACAAGUGCACAAACUGUCAUAACUACAUAUUCAUACUAAUCCGGAUGGUUAAGUCAAAGGUUGGUUAAAUACAAAGUUAACUUGGUGUGAUAUAUUGUGUUUAUCUUAUUUGAACGUUUAAUUGUAUUCAUAUAUCAUUGAGUAUUUUCUUCAAGCUUACCCUUCUAUCUAUGUUUGCGUUGUAUGUUUUUCUUGUUUUCUCUCUUUGUUAUGAUCAUCAUGUGGGUGUGAGGAGAAGAGGACGAGGUGUCCCAAGAGCAUGCUCUUGAUGAAGAUGGUGCUGCGGAGUAGCUAUUUUUAAAAUUAUAUUGUGUAAAAGAAAAUAGUUUUGAUAUAGAACGUUUGUAUAUAAUAUUUAAAUUUUAUAGUUAUUUUAGUAAUAAAACUUUACUUUAUACUUUAAUCUCUAAUUGUUUUAUCAUAUCUUAUUACGGUGACUCUUUGUAUAGUAUUAUAUUAUAUUUUUAAAUGUUACAAAUGAAAUUUUUUAAUAAGUUAUAAUGGCUGUCUAAUUUUAAGCCUAAUUAUCUAUCUAUAUAUAUUAUUUUGUCGAUAUCUAGAAUCGUGGAUUGAUGAUUUUGGACAUUCCAGUAGCAUUGGAAAUAUACGAUCCAGGCCUUUACAUCCUACAAUAUAUUAUUUUAAUGACGAAAAAAUGGAGAAAAUUAAUUUUCUAGUUAGAUUACAAAAUUUCAAUAGGGACAAAGUUGUUUUUUAUAUAUUAGUGUUUUAUGUACGAUACUUGUUAAUUAAGGCGAAACCUUCAUUUUAAUAUGAUUGGUUUAGGUUUUUAAAAGGAGAUUGUAACUUUGUUUACCCUUUGAAAAAAUUAAUAUGUGGAUAUGAAAAUUUUAAAAUCAUUUUUUUUUCCUCUUUCUUCCCUCUCUUUUCUUAUUAUGUUUUCUCAUUCAUCUUUCCAAGAAUAAGGAUUGUGAUUCACACAAGUAGUUUAAUCCCUAUAUGUGAUUUUCAAUAAUUAAUUAAUGAUUAACUCAUCUCUACCAAAAGACUUAAGAUUUAAUAUUUCCUCGACUAAUUAUUGAAUCAAAUAUGACAGCUAAAAAUUAAUUUGAUUUAUUUAAUUAUUUUAUUUUGUUUAUUUUUUUUAAAUAUUAGAUAUAUUUUUAUUUUAUAAUUAUAUUUUAUUUUUAGUUAAUUUGUUAUUAUUUUUUAUUUAAAUUUUAAAUUUAUUUUAUAUUUUUUCUAUCAUAAAUAAAAAUCCUAUGAAUAUAUUAUUUUUACUGUAUUCAAUAAUAAUAAAAAACACAAAACAACCUUCUCGGCUUAGAAAUUCUAAAUUUACAAUUGAAUAAUAUAUUAUUUGAAUAAUAUAUUAUUUAAGAGAUAACUUUAGAUUAAUUCAAUUAUUCAUAUACUUUGAAUAAAAUUAUAUAUUAUUUAAUUGAAUACAAUCUCAAUUAAAUUUAAAGUCAUUGUUAUAUAAUUUUAUUCAAAUUCUAUCUUAUUUUAAUUUAUUAUUUUAUUUUUUCUCUCUUAACUUUUAUGCAUUAUAUAUUUAAGGUGCAUGAAAUACUUUCCACCAUUUGAUAAAUAGUCAAUAAUUUAUGUUCUAUGAUAAUUUGUAAUUAAUUAAUAAUAACUUCUUCUUUUUAUUUUCAAUGUACAUUUUAUUUUCUCCUAUCUUCAGUUUGAUAGAGAUUGGAAAUGUGGUGGCCCUUAAUCAUUUGCAUCAUAUAAUGUAAAUAGUGGUAGCACAUUGGGAUGAUUAGUAGAUUAGGAAAAUAAUGAUAUUAUGCAAAUAUAACAAGUGAUAUAUUCAUUGGAAACUAAGAAUUUGUAAAUAAAAGGUAUAUUGAAUUGUUACAAUUUGAGGUGAUGUUUGUCUGCUUUCAUGUUAUUUUCUUUUAUGUGUUCUUGAUUUUGUUUCCAUGUAUGAUUUUUAUCUACGUUUCUAUAAUGUCUAGUUUAUAUUAGUUUUGACUAUUACUAGUAAUGAUUUUGAAAAAUUCACCAUAGAAAUUGAUUGUUGUGUCAAUUAUUUUGUGGUAAUUUUUAUUUGUAUGUUUUUGUUUGUGGAGCUUUACAUUGCAUAUACUAGUCAUGAAUUAUGGUUUUUCAAAAAUUUGGUGUCAAGUAUUUUAUCCCAUUUUUCUACCUUUCACACAUUUAUUUCACUUUCUAAUACUGUUUAAAAAAUUCUAAAUUUUUAGGAUAAUGAUAUUUUGACAACACUUUUUGACAACUUUUUUUAUAACGGGACACGUGUCAUUAUUUUAUUGGUCUAUUUGAAUUUAUGUUUAAAAAAUAUUUAAAACGGAUCAAUCACAAGCUGCCAUGUAUGUGUUAUAAAAAAAUUGUUAAAAAAGUGUUGUUAAAAGAAGUUUUUUCAAAUUUUUAUUGAUGUUUUCUAAUUAUAAAUGGAGAUUUUUCAAUCUUUUACAUUCUUCUUUUCUGGUGAUUAUAUAUAUAACAUUCAUUCAUAUAGUGUUUUAGUCAUAUCUACUAUUUUAUUCAUUUAUUUGAAAAACCUUUGGAUGAAAAUUGUGUUUAUUAUGUAGAGAAUUUCUCACUCUAAUAGGAAAAUUUAUUUUGAAUAUUUUAAAAGAAAAAUACUUUUUAUAACAAUUAAAGUUAUAACCUUUGUAAAAAGUAGCACAUUUUAUGAUAGGUCUUUUGAUAUGUCAUAAAAAGUUCAGAGUUUCUAUAUCGCCUGUAUAUCGUCAUUAAAAGUUUAUUUUAACCAUCAUAGAAAGUAUUUACUAUAUUAGUGUAGAUUUUGAAUAUUGAUGAUAAACAAAAUCGUUUUUGUGUCCUCAUCUUUCAAUAGUUUGGCUAGUUCAAAUUUGAAAAGUUUUCUCAAAUCUCACAAGAUACUUUCUUUCUUAUCGUAUCCUUAUUUAUAUAUUAUUUACUUUGUGCAAUUUCCUUUCAGUGAUGUAACAAAUCGUUUAUAGGACAUAUUUUUUUUUUAUCAUUUUUACUUCUUUUUAAUAUUUCAAUUUAUUAUUAUUUUAUCAUGUAAAAUAUUGUUUUAAUAAUUUUUAAUAUAAUUAUAUUUAUUUUCCAACUCAUUCUCAUAAAUGUAAUUUUAUCACGACAGUUGUAUAAAGAUAUUUCAUUUACUAUAGUAUAAUAAUUUAAUGUCAUUUUUGAUUAAGUUUAAAGUUUAAAAUAUGAAAGAACUAUGUCUAAUUUUGAAUUAUUAUUAGUUUAGUAUUUCUUUCAUGUGUAAUUUCUUUUUAAGUAGUGUAUUAUAAUCAUUAUUAAUGUAUAAAAGUGAUAUUUCAUUAUAAUUUAGAGAAAGAAAGUAAAGAGACUUGAAAUGUUUUUAAACUAAUAUUUUUUUUUUACUUUUAAAAAAUAUUUUGUAAUCUUAUUGAUUUUUUUAUUAACAUUUUCAAAAUUAAUGAUGUUUUGGUUGUCAUGAAAUUUUAUUUCUGUAAUUGUGUAAUAUUUUAUAUAAUUCUUUCACUUUUAUCCAAUUUUUAUUUGGUACUUUGAUUUAAAAUUUAUACCAUUGUCAUUUUUUAUAAAUAUUUGACACUAAAUAUGUUCUUUUUGAUAUUGAAUUUUUUUAUAAUAUAAUUUUUCCUUUUAAGUGAUUUUUAAUUUUCUAAAUUAAUUAAUUAAUUGAUAGCAAGAAAACAAAUAUGAAUAUAUCCAUUAUCUCGUGAUGAUUGGAAUGAGACAAAAAAAAAUUAAAUCAUUUAAGUAUAAGAAUGAAGAUAUGUAUUCAAUUUUACUUUUAGGAUAAACAUAGAAUAAUGAAACAUGUCCCCUCCACCCAAUUGGCAUCCUUAAUUUUGAGAUCACUUAACUAGUUAAAAAAAAAUAAAGAUGCGUUGGUAUGAUAAAUACUAAUACUAAAAAUUUUAGUGGUUUAAGAUGCAUAUAGUAAUAACAUGUUUUAUCUCUUCUUUUGUUCUUAUUUUUCUCUUCUUCUUCUAAGAUUGUUUUUCUUCUUGUUUUGGUGUUAUCGUUCUAUUUGGAUGAUCAUUUCUUCAUUAGCUUUAACUUAAGCUAGCACUCAGGUGAAUAUUGCAGAUGCAGUUAAAAAAGCUUAGAGAUGAUGAGAUACAUACUGUGAGAAUAUUUUAGGGAAUUUUUGUUAAAAGUAUAUUGUAUCAGAAAUAUUAUGUUGUGUAAAAUUUAAAUUUUAAACUUAUUUUAAGAAGUGAAAACUAUGAUAUUUAAAGUUUGGAACCGCAUUUUUUGUUAAAUCAAAAUAAAGUUUUGAUUAUGGAAGUUAAUUAUAAAAUUUAAAUUUUGUUUUAGCAUUCCUAAUACUCUUUAAAUUAUUUGGGUGUUACAUUGUGACAUUAGAGUUAUGAUUUUCGAAGAUCUUUGAGUGCUAGUAUCCUCACUCAUCUCGGAUUGGUGAGCUUUUUGCAUUUCUAAGGUCUUGUUCACUUGAGUGGAUUUGAAAGAGAGUAAUUGAGAGAAUUUAAGAGGAUUUGAAGAUAAUUUUUGUUGUUGUUUAUUUGAAUAGAUUUGGAGAUAAGUGAGAGUAGAUUUGGAAGUAAAAUUUGUAAGAAUUAGUGUAAGAUUUAAUUUACAUGACAGUUUAAAAAAAUUUACUUCCAAAUUCACUCUCACUUACUUUCAAAUCUAUUCAAAUAAACAACAACAAAAAUUUAUCAUCAAAUUCUCUCAAUUACUCUCCCUUAAAUCUACUCAAGUAAACAAGGCCUAAAUGAUGUGCCAUCUAUAAUCUCCCCUCCUCAUUUUCAUGUCUCAUCAUUUGUUUCACCUUUGCUAGCUUUAUGAUUCUUAUGCUCUUUAUAUUCAAUCAUUCCUAUGUUUUUACUUAAGUGAACUUCUUUUGUUCCUUAGAAUUCCUUGAAGGACAUCUUCACAUCUAAUUAACUUCAUUAUCUUAAUGUUUAAUGAGUAUCUUUGUCAAAUUUUUUUAAUAACUAUAUAAUACCAUAUAAUGUUAAACUUUAAAAUAAUUUUUUUUAUUAGUUUCAUUUUUUAGGAUUUGUUUUUAUUAGAUUUUUAUUUUAUUAGUUUUAUUUUUUAAGAUUUUUUUUUAUUAGUUUCAUUGAUAUUUAAAUUUUUGUUUUUCUAUAAACAUUUAAAGUUGAGAAAUUGUUAAAUUAGCUGUCUUAUCUUAAUUUGGUUAUCCUGAUGUUCCACUUAAUAGUUUUGUGUUAACUUAGUUAAUAUUUUAAAUAAAUUACAACCAAACUUGCUUCAUAAAAAUAAUUUAAAAAAUGAAAUUAAUAUCAUACAAAUUAAAUUAAUAUAAAUGUAGAUAUAUUAAGAUUAUGUAUUGUUUCGUCCACUUCUACACUCCACUCUUAUCAUUAACCUUUCUGUUAUGCUUUGUAUCUUGAAUGCCUUAGCUUCUCUGAACUAUUUAUCAUUGACUGGUGGAUGACCUGAAAAAAUAACUGCAAAAAAUACUCUAAGUUAGAUAUGUUUCUCAAUUGAAAAAAGCAAUCUAAGUCCAUUAACUAUCCAUAAACAAGGUAUAUUUUUAGACAAUAAAAUUCGUUAAUUACUCAUUAAUUAAUGUCAUAUUUAUACUUGAUAUGGUUAAUUAAGUCUAUUAAUUAACCUUUAAUGUCUCUGCUUACAGAUGUUGCUCGGCCAAUCGAUCAUCUUAACCAAUUGAUGCUUGCUAUCAAAUGUCUCUCUGAUCUGACCAGUACACUAGUACACUAUAUAUUGUACAUGUAUAAAUUUAUAUACAUGUAUAAAUUUAUAUAUAUAUAUAUAUAUAUAUAUAUAUAUAUAUAUAUAUAUAUAUAUAUAUAUUUAAAUAAUAUUACUAUUUUAUAGAAUAUAUCUAAGUUAAUUUUUGCCACCCACAAAAAUUUAAUUUAAUUUAAACAGCCUUUUUCGUCAUAACCUAAUUCGAUUGAUAGGUUUUUGAAAUAUUUUUCGGAUUGAAUUUAUUUUGACAAUUUUAGUCACUUUUCAAAGUCAAAAGUCUAUUUAAAUUGUAAAAGUGUAAUAGGCUUUCAAAUAAUUUUAAAAUUUUGUAACAUAAAUAUAAAAUCAUAUUUACUGAGAAUUUUUUAUUUAAUUAACAAUUGGAUUAGUAAAAGCUAAUAUAUACAGUAAAAAGUCAAGUCUCAUUUUUAAAUUCGGAGGAAUUGAUAUGAGCAAAUUUAGUACCACUAGUGUAAAAACGAUGUUUAAUGUCACCCAAAGACGUCAACUAGAGGGCAAUCCGAUGUAUAUUAAUGGACGGUGGCAUUACCGUAAAUAAGUUGGUCAUCAAAGACAUUGGUUUCUAGGGAUGAUAUAGUAGACGUCUGCUCUGCCCUAAACCGACGUCCAAUGGCCUGAGGUAGGCGAGAAGACAGGCUUUUCUGCCCCAUUGACGUCGGUUGUUCAGGGGGGCCGACGUCUACUUGCCUACAAUUAAUGCUCUUCACCUGAUUCCCAAGCGCUUAGAUGUCAUGUAGUAAAAAAUCGAUGUCUAUGGCCUGUCUGGAAGGUGGGAAGACAUCAAUUUCUGCAAUAUAGACGUCGGAUUUCUCGGUGGGGACGUCUAUGUGCCUGUAAUUAAUGAUGUUUACCAAACUCGCAGGCACUUCGACAUCCGAUAACAGAGCCCCGACGUCAUAUUGUUAUAGACGUCGGCGCCCUGGACAACUGUCAUCUACUUCCCUGACAGGAAAUGAAAUGUCAAUCGGUUCAGCGCAAUAGACGUCGGCUCCCCUAGUGUCCGACAUCUAAUGUGCAUUCAAAAAGUCAGAUUAAAAGUUAUCUUUGACAUCAUAUUAGUUAGAUAAUCGACGUCUAUGUGACUAUAGACGUCAGUUUCUGUUGCAACCGACGCCCCAUUUCAUGUUAAAUAAACCGCAAACUCUUCGCGACAUUGCAGUUUCUGAUAUCAUCGUCUUCCUCCUCUCCUUUUUCUCUCUUGCGGCUCCUCUCCUUUUUCUCUCUUGCGGCAUUGCAUUAUUNUUUNUNAUAACAUCAUCGUCUUCCUCCUCUCCUUUUUCUCUCUUGCGGCAUUGCAUCCCAGGUGCGUGUUUUUUUAUGGUUACCGUUUAAUCUUUGUUCAGUCUUUCAUCGAUUAUCUUCUGGUUCAACUGAUUAAAAUUUGUUUUCUUUGUGUUGUGUUUUAGUGUAGUUUUGUUCCUUUCUUGGGGUAACGUAGUACCACAUUCUUCCUUUGCUAGUUGCCUCCCAGAAAAAGCGGCAUCUUUUGGAUUUCUGGUGGCGUUUCAACCCAAAAACAACCCUGGGUCGUUGUCUAGUUAUCGUUUUACCGUAAUUUUUCCCUCUUGCAGUUGAAAAGGGAAUUAAGCAAGAACCCAGGUUCAGUUUUGGGUUGAAAUGUCAUGAGAAAUUCAAAAGACACAAGCUUUUUUUCGGGGGAAACUAGUAAAGGCAGAGUGUGCUACUAGGCUAUCCAAAGACAAGAACAAAACUGCACUAAAACACAACGACUGUAUUAGACGUCGGUUAAUGCAAAGACCGACGUCUAUAGUGACCUUAGACGUCGGUUAGUGACAUGUUCGAAGUCUUUAUGUGCUUUUAGACGUCGGUUAAUGCGUAGUCCAACGUCUAUAUUGUCCCUUUAGAUGUCGGGUUAGGCCUAUACCGACGUCUAGUGACGUCGGACAUGGCACUAACUGACGUCAUUAUAAACGUCUGUUAUAUGGAUAUCCGACGUCCCAUUGACGUCAUCGGUAAUGAGUUCGGUUGGUUAAUAGACGUUAAAAGCCCAAAAUAACAAACGUCUAAAACCCUUUCUACACUAGUGUACGUUCUCUUCCAAGGAUUUGAGUAUAAAAAAGAUGAUAGAUUUGUUGAAUUUGCUUCAUCUUUCAUCUGCUUAGGAGAAGUAUGUAUUUACAUUGAUAUCCCUAUGUAAAACCUUUCUCUUUUUCAAUUGUUUUUGUUGAGUGGGUAUAUAUAAGAGAAAAGUGAUUUAAAAAAUAACCUUCAUUUCCUUAGUUUUUUAUUAAGAAAACGAAAAAGUAGUUUAAUCUUGUUUUCUACAUAUCUUUAUCUUUACAAUUUAAAUCCUCAAAAGGUAGACUUAAUUAAGUCAAUCCUAUAAAAUCGAUUUAAAAAAAAUGAAAUUUAGACUCACUUAUAUAUUAUAAAUUGGUUUUAUCUCUAGUCGAGGUGAGACUUGCAACAACUCACUCUAAUAAUGUUAUUUUAAUAACUUAGAAUCAAAAUAGGAAUAAUUUUUUACAAAGCAACGUUAAGAGAAUCUUAUGCAUUAAAAUAAGCAGCAUCACAUGUUUUUGACAAGAAGAAGAUUUAAAAAGAAAGAUUGUGUUAGUAUGGUUGAGAAAUGGUUUAGACAGGUAAAUAUGAGCGACUAUACAUGUUUUGUUUGAAAGGUUGUUGAUGGUACUAUGCAUUUGUCUUCAUUUGUCAGUUAGAAACACUUUUAACACAUCUUUGUUUUUUAUCAUUCACAACGCAUAUGAUUCAGUUCUGAUUAUCGGAAUGAGGAAAAUAACAUAAGAUAGUGAAUGUCAGUGUCGUGUCUCAUGUCUCUUUGGUUGUAGCCAUGGCAGAACACCUAAUGGAUUUUCCUCUCUUCUAUCUUCAUGCUCAUCUUAUUCUCACCAACUUCACACAAUAAUCAAAAAAUUGCUGCAUCCUGCUUCUUUCUUCUACAACCAGUUUUUCGGUUUUUCAAACAUGUCUCAUGUUGCUUGUUUAACAUUUUUUAGUAUAUAUAUAUAUACACACACUUCUAUAUAAAUAAAAUAAUGACUUAAUUAAGUUUAAAGUCAUUCAUAAAUUUAUAUAUUUUUAGUUAUAUUUUUAUUAAAAAAAUUUAGUGUAUUAAAUCUUCAAAAUUUUUAUACUUUCAAUUCAAUUUAUCUUUUCCUUGUUUUAUUUCUUUUUUUUUUCUGUAAAUACUAAAAACUGUGAAGUUUUGUGAUUAAUAUAAAAUAAUAUUAAAUAAGAUAACAAUCAAGCUAAUUAAUUAAAAAAAAUAAAUGAUAUAUACUCAAUUAAAAAGUACAAAAAAUUUAAAUAUUCAAUUAACAGAAAAAUUCAAUAAAAACUCAAUUAAAAAAACCAAAAUUUAUAAGUAAUUUUAAACUUAGUUAAAUAAUACUUUUAUUACUAUUUAAAAUUUAAAUUCUCUAACUUUUUUAUUACAUUUUUUUAUAAUCUUUGGAUAUUUCUUUAUCCUCUUAUAUGAAAACAUGAUAUAUUAAACCAUUGAGAUAAAUCAUGACUUAGCAAAACAAAAUUUUGAUUAGGGUUAAGUUUUAUGUUCCUUGUAGAUUUCAAAUAUUGUUUUCUCUUUCAGUUGAUUCGUGUGGUUUAAAAAUUCCCAAUAUAUAUCAGUUGAAAAAUAAUAAACUUGUAUUUCUCUAAAACUAUAACAUUAUUCUUAUUUAUUAUAUUUUGUUUCCUAAAAUCAACUUAGAGAAUAUAUAAACAUCUUCAACUCAUUCUCUUUUCAAAAACUAUAAUUCCUUGAAAAGUGAGGCAUUUUACAAGAAAAACUAACUUUGGUCAAAAUUUUCAUAUUUAAAAUAUUAUGAAACAAGGGAUGAUUUUAGAUUGUAGAAAUGAGAUGAGUGUUGAGAAAUGAAUUUUAAAUCCAAGAAAUAACAAAUAUUUCUGGUAGAGCUAUCAAAACGGGUAACCUGACUUGACCCGGCCGGCCCACCACAGGUUGGUCACUUAUUGAGCCAACUUGACCAACCUAACCCAGCUCAUUUAUUAGCGAGUCAGAAAAAUUCGAACCCGGCUCGACCCAUCAAGGGUUGGUAGGUAAAUGGGUUGGCUCACUUAAAUACAAUUUUUUUUAAAUAAAAAAAAUUAUAAACUUUUUAUAAUUUAAAUAUAAACAAAUUUCACUUCUAAAUUUCACUCCCAACGGGUGUUUAAUUAAUUUUGAAAAUAGAGAACUUAAAUAAUUAUUUCAAGCAAAAAAUAAUAAUAAAUAUUUUUUUAUAAAAUUAAAAUUAAAUUUUAAUAAAAGAAAAUUAGGUAGGUGAGUUGGUGGGCUAAUCCGACUCACCACGGGUUCAACCCGCAUGAACUAGGUUUAAAUGAGCCGGGUUGAAACCUGACCCGCAUAAAAAAAAUAAAAAGCGAACUGUGACCUAUUUUGACAGCUCUAAUUUCUGGGAUAAACUCUAACCAUAGCUCUGAUACUAUAUGAAGAAGUAAACUUUAAAGUCUAAAUCUCAUAAAACCAACGUGUAAAGUGAGGUUCACAUCUCUUUAUAUAUUAUAAAUUGGUCUUAUCUCUAGUCGACAUGAGACUUCCUACACUAAAGAUAAUGUAUUAUUCAAUGAAUGAAAAUUCACUCAAUAGAUUACAUAAUAGAGAAAUUUUGGUUUAACAAAUUUUAAUUUUGUUGAGCAAAUUUCAAAUAAACACUUAAUUUUAGCUAUUUAAUCUUAGAAUUUAAUGAGUUGUGUUGCAUAAAGUUUUGUAUUUAUAAAUAUUAUAUAUGAUAUACUUUAACAUAAUUAACACCUGGAGACAUUAAAUCAUAAAGCACCACCCUCCAAAAAUAGAAAACAGUUUUUUAUUUUUGUGAGGAAGUGACAAUUCAGAGAGCAUAAAUUAAAGACUUAAGAAAGUUGUGAUGAAAAUGAAGAUGAUCACACACAACACAAUUCAUUGCAUAACAUAUGAUGGUGAUUUUGUGAGACAAGAAGUGAAAAUAAUGAUGAAAAAGUGAACCCGACAAAGGAAACAGUAAUAAUGAAAAAUAGUGAUGCCUUUUAAUCAACUUUUACAAGACAAUAUUCCGACAUAUAUGGAUAACUAAAGCUCCUUUUCUUUUAUUUUUUUUAUUUCAUUAUCUUCUCACAUUUUUUCAGUUUAUAAUUCUUCAAUUGUUUGUUUUAAUAAGAAGCUAUUUCUACAACUUUUCUGUUUGAUGGUUUUGGAAAAUUUUCAUUCGAUUUUUAUUAUAUGUAAAAAAUUUCUAAGUAAUAAGUUGAAUUGACUCUCUCAUUCGGUUAAUUGAAAUAAAAAAAAUUACAAUUAAGCUAAUAUAUAUAUAUAUAUAUAUAUAUAUAUAUAUAUAUAUAUAUAUAUAUAUUUAUGAGAGAAUAAGUUUUAGUAUGUAAACCUAAUCGACUUAUUAUGGAGUCGAGUGAUGUUGAGUUAGAAACAAUUAAUUUUUUUUUUAAAAUUUAAACUAAAAUAACAAUUCAAUUGUUUUUUAAGAGUAAGUCAUUUUUUAACGUGACUCAAUAUCAAUUUAUUCUUUUAACAACCCAUUAACUAUAGUAAAAUAAUAAUAUAAUGUACCGAUUAUAUACUAUUAUGUUCAAGCAUUUUUAUUGAAUUCUAUAUUUAGUCAAUAAUUAUGCGAUUAUUUUAAUUUUAUGUAAAACAUAUAAAUGAAAAGAGUUUGGGAUUUUGAUUUUUAAUUGAGUAGACCGAAUAAUAUUUUAACAAAAAUAAACGAAGGAUUUAUUAUGUUGUUUAGUAUUGGAUUGUGCUAUUCUCUUGUUUAAUCUUUUCAAUGUAAGAGAUAGGUUGAACUUUCUUCUCAACUAUAAAUAAGACUAAAGCUAAAUGAUAACAUGUAGGUGAGUACAAAUUCACUUUAUUAAAUUAGUUUUGUAAAAUUAAUUUAGAUUUAAAAUUUCAUUUUUUGAAUAUGAUAUUAAAAUAAUUAAGAAUUUAUUUUUUAUUUUUGUUAGAACUAUUGUGUCAUAUCUUUUGUGACACUUCUUAUUUUUGAGUUUUAUAUUAUUAAUACGAAUUAUGAACGAGAAAAUAUCACUAGGGUAAUAAGGGAAAUAACAAUGGUUAUUUUCGUCCAUAGACAACUGUUCCUAAACCGAGACAUAUAGAGGUGAGGCAAAAAGUCCAGCCUUUUUUGUUUUGAUUCACAAUCGAGACAUAAAAGGGUGAGAUUUUGUCUCGGUUCAAAGGUAAUUAAAGCAAUAAGGUUUUUGCUUUUUUUAUUUUUUAUUUCGAAUGGCUUUACGCCUCGGUUCCUUAUGAAUCGAGGCAAUAUGUCGACCUCUACUACCUCAGUUGGGAUUUGAACCGAGUCAAUAGGAUGUUUUUUAUUUUUAUUUUUUGUUUUUUCGUCAGACUUUCUGCCUCGGUUGUGGCCUGAACCGAUGCCGUAAAGGGUUUUCUGUCUUGGUUAUGGUCACAACUGAGACACAUUUUUUUUUAAGAACAUGUCUGUUUUUGCAACAUUCCUAACUACAGAAAUAGACUUGCAUAUAUUUUACCGCUAGAACAGUCCAAAAGCAUAUAUUUUCAACAAAAAUGAUAUUAAAACAUAAUGCAUUCAAUUUAAUCAUAAAUCAAUUUCUUAGAAACAUAAAUCAAUUCAAUGUAAUCAUAAAUAAACUUUAAAGCAUAAAUCAAUUUAAUGUACAAAAUUAAAGUAAUAAUAAUAUAUAAAAGCAUAAAUCAACUUAGAAGGAUGAAAUUCUAUAUAUUAUUUGUAAAUAUGAUUAAAUUAUAAUAUAUAUAAUUAUAAAUUUCACUUCAUAAAUUUAAUUUUUUAAAAUUGAAUCAGACAUAUGUUUACUUUUAUUACAAUAAUAUAUAUAUCUAUAUAAAAGCUUACUAUAGCAACUUAUAUGAUGGAAGAAAAGUUGAAUAUGGUUGUUUUUGAGAUAUUUAAAAUCCCAAUGGAAAAUAGAGAGCUUGAUGGAUGAUUAGAGAGUGGAGAACAGAAGAACGUGACAAGUCUUGAAAGUGGUAAGCAAUUCGUUAAUUGAAUGACUUUAAAAUGCGUUGUUUUGGAGCAUUUCUGACUUUGCAUUAUUUUGUCUUCUGUUGUAAUUGUUGGACUUAUUGUAAAUGUUUAGGAUAAUGAAGAAAAAGAUGUUUCCAGACUCAUAAUAAGUGGUAGAGAAAAAACAUACAACAAUAUUAAAUUUUAUUUUUCUUUAAUUAAGUUUAGGAAAACAAAUCUUUAUCUUUUUCUGCGUAUAAAUGUUUGAGAUCAUAUUUAGUGUCUUAAAAAACUGAAAGUUUUUUAUUGUUAAAAUAAACUAUAUUAAUACAUCUGAAUGAGAAAAUAACCAAAAUUUAUAUUUAUUUUUAUUUGACAUAAAAUAUGCAUUCACUUUGUGAAUGGUUAUGUUGAAAAACUUAAUUACCUAUUUCUAAUAUAGUUUAAAGCGAAUAUGUGAGUUAGGUUGAAUUUUGAAAAAUCCAUCAUCCAAUUCAAUAAAAAAUCUUAGAUUGUGUUGAGACAAAUUUACUUUCCUUUAAACCUGAUCCUAAUAUAACCCAACCUUAAUCAAAUAUAGGUUAAAGUGAAUAACAUUUUUUUUAUUAAAAUUUGUAAUUUUCAAACUUUUUUUUUUAUAAUUAGAAUAGUGUUCUUAAGAACAUAUACGAGUAUCUAAACGUAAAGUCAUAACUACAAAUAGAACCUUAAAACUAAAACAAAUUAAAUAUAACAGAUAAAUAAAGUUUGGUUAAUAUUGAAUCCCAAAUUCAACUGACGUAAGCUGUCACAUCAUUUAUAAAAAGAUUAACUCACUUUGAGAUGAGAUAGUAAAAUUUGAUUCAAUCAUAAAAAAAUCAAGUCUAAUUUUGUUAAGUUAAAUAUUAUAUGACGAUUUGACUUGUUAAAUAUCUUUAAUUUUUUCAUCCUCAACAUUUAAUUUAAGUUGUUACUUAAAAUAAUUAAAUCCAAUACUAGAUAUUAUUAGAAAGUGAUUUUUAAACUUAACUCAACUCCACAAAAUUGAUAUGUAAGGUGAGGUUUGCAACCCACUUAUAUAUUAUAAAUGGGUCUUAUCUCUAGUCGACGUGAGACUUCCAACACACGACGAUGUAUAGACAUCUCGAGCAUGAGAGUAAAAUUAAUGGAUGGUCCGAUAGUGACUCGAUAACGAGUGGAACAAAAUGUCACAUAGAUCUCAUUAGGAUAGAGUCUAAUCAUAAUUUUGAUAUCAUAUUAGAAAGUAAUUUUUAAAUCUAAUUCAAUCCCACAAACUUCACCUUGAUUUUGUGAAAUUGGUUUAGACUUAAAAACCACUUUUUAAUAUAUAGUAAAGUAUGUUGCUUGAAUUGAAAGAGUUUGGAAUUAAACAUUGAUUGUGUUUUGUAAAGAAGUGAUGAGAGAUACGGAAACAUGUGUUUGUUUGGGUUGGUCCAUGAUUAUGUUUAGUUUGCAUGGGAAGACCUAGCCACCAUUUGUUCAUAUCAAAAAAGCUUCAUUCAGAAGAUGAAACCUUUUGUUGACCAGUCAAGUCUGGGUUGAUGGAAGUAACUUUUGUACUUUGAAAUGAAAAAAAAGAGUAGCUUUUGUACUUAAUAAAAAAUUAUUAUUAUUUAUGGAUAUGGUUGAUGCAGUAAAUUAGCGCAAAAAGUUCGCGUUGGAAAGGUUUGAAGACAGGCGUGACUACUGUUCAUUAAAGAAUACGCAUAUGAAAAAAAUUCAUAGACAUGCAAUGAAAGGUAAGAGAUACACCUAAGUUAGGUUAUGACAAUCUACUGCAUCAUCAUGUUGAUGAACAUAACUAACACAUAAGGAAUACUUUUUCCAAUUCAUAAGUUGUAAUUUGGGACUAAUUAUUAUCUUUUAUAGUCUUAAGUAUAUAAUUUAUAUAAAUUUUAGUAUUUAAGUUUAACUUUUAAUUUUACAUUAUUUUUCAUUUUUCAUUUUGAUGUGGGGAUAAUUUUACUCUAUUGGUCUUCUAGUUGAGCUUGUUUUGAAAGUCAUUAUAUAAUAAUAGGUUUUUCGACUUGUGUUGCAUAUUUUAGAAAAGUUUUAUGCUUGGCUAUCGAUUUGGGUAGUCUCUGUUAUGUGUUGUCGACUUUAGGUAGGUUUUGUUCAGUAUUGUCAACUUCAGGCAGAUUUUGCUUAGAUGUUGUUGACUUGAAGCAAGCUUUGUUUUUUUGCGACCUAUUUUAGGCGGGUUUCGCUUUUGAUGUGGCCAACUUUAGGCAGGUUGUCGAUUUAGGGCAGGUUUGGUUGAGCUUACUUGCUUAUAUACUAAAUUCCUUUAUCGAUACUUCACUUUAAGAAAUCCUAGUUGCUAUUUGAGUUCUCUUUAUUCUUGUCCUCAUAUUUCUUAUGUUUUCUUUCGUAUUCGCUUGUUAUAUAUAAGGAAGUGAAGGUGACCGAGCUGAAGGCCGAGUGGGACUUCCUAGCCGGCUUGUGUUCUAGGGUUGAUCGAGAGAUAACGAAUAGAGACAUAAAGAGCCGUGUUGUUCAUUUGACCUUUGGACUUCAAGCCAAGGGACGAGAAAAUGACAUUGAUAACAAAGGCUGAGAUGGUCGAGACAAGUGCUAGUGAUCUACCUAAAUAUAAAGGUUUGCCAGUUUUGAGGCUGAUGAUGUUGGUCUGGAUGAGGAGAGUACCAACUUUAUGACUGGCAAGCUAGCGGCCUAUGUUGAGAGUUUUAAGAAAGAGGUGGGUCGCCUUCUUUAGUCCCCGUUUGGACUUGGGGUAGUGGACAACUCAUAUACUCUAUCAUUGGAAUGUUGAUUGGUUCUUUCUUAUGUACUUAGGUAUUGUCACACCGAGUUGUUAUCUACUCUUGUACUCUAGUCAAGUUACACAUAUACUAGAACGUCAAGUUGCUUUCGUACCUUAAUAACUAGAAAAACUAAAUAAUUUUUUAUGCUCAUCUGAUGUUUCUCCUUCUAUUUUGUUUGAGUGACUUAAUGACUUGCCUUGCUUGGAGGGAUUUUAGUUGGUUAUUUGGUGAAGUAACUCGAUUUUCUUGUUGACGUAGCCUGGUGUCUCACCUAGAGGGCUUGUGGUGUCUUGUUUGGAGGGGUUUUGGUGCCUUAUUUGGAGGGAUUUCAGUGUCUCGCUUAGAGUACUUUUAAUGACUCGAAUGGAGGGCUUUUGGUGUCACCUAAGUAACUCAGAUUGCAUCUCCGUGGUCUUUUUUGAUAUGGAACAAAACUAGAAUAGGAAAAAUACAGCCUAAGAAAACCUAUGGUAUUUCAUUUUAUGUUUCUUGUCACUCUUUAAACUCUUCAUUCUUGACGUAUGUAUGAUCAUAUCAUUUUCUCAUUACCACCUCCAUGGUCUUUUCUCAUUGCCACCUUCGUGGUUUUUUCUGAUUGCCACCUAUGUGGUCUUUCUCGUUGCCACUUUUGUUGUCUUUUAUUGUUGUCACCUUUGUGGUCUUUAAUUGUUGCCACAUUCGUGGUCUUUUAUCAUUGCCACCUUUGUGGACUUGUAUCGUCGACCUUCGUGGACUCUUAUCGUUGCCACCUCCGUGAAAUUUUAUGGUUGCCACCUCUAUGGACUUUAAUCGUUGCCACCUACUAGAAUUUUAUCAUUGCCACCUCCUCGAUUUUUUAUUCUUGCCAUCUCCAUGAACUUUUAUUGUCGCCAACUUUAGGGACUUUUCUCAUUGUCAUCUAGUAACUCAGGUGCCUCAUUUGAAGGCUUAUGGAGCCAUGUUUGUGGGAUGUGUUGUCGGAGUAGACUUUCUUGUAGUGAAUAUUUUUCUUUAUGCAUUCGUAAGAGGAGCUGAUGACUUGAACCUAAGCCUAAACUCUAUUCAAAGGCCUAUUACUUGUAGCAUGGUGAGAAAGCUCCAAGAGCAACUUAAAGAUGUAUCCAAGGAAGGAGAAGUUAAGACCUUGUUCACUUAGAAAAGAGACUCGCCCAGUGCAUACCCUUGGGUGCUCAACACGUGCACCUUAGCUUGCUCCUUUAAGCAUGUGUAGCUCAUAUUAUUCAUGUAUUAAACAUUAAAAAUGUGCCUAAUACGUGGCACUUGAUCCACUUAUCAUGCCUGAUCAUCAGGAUCUUAGUUAGGCAUCGUGGAGAGGCAUGGAUCAUGCUAUAAAUUCACCUCUCCUACAUAAUUUAUAUUGACUUUGAUGUUUAUGGUAAUGAACCUAUGUUGAGAUCACUCCAGAUUCAUUCUAGUUCAAAGUCACGACCAAAGAGAGUGUUUUAUCUCCUUUAGUCACCUUCCUUAGAUAGGAUUCAUACUAGGCCUCUUGCUCGCACCAUACACGAAACCAUUCCACCUCACCGAGAGCUAUUCACCAUAAUUUCCUCAAACACCUUUCAUCAUACUCUGUAUUUCGUUGCCUCGUCUAUCCUUCACCUUAGUUCUGCUUCUACAUCCGUGGAUAACUCACAGUCUAGCCAUGGAGGGAACUUAUCAAGAGCCUAGGGAAGGAAACCCCUAUUACGAUAACUCUUUUUCUUGCUCUUCCAAGUCUUUUGGUCCUUAAAAUUUCUUUAUUUUGCCUUCCUUUCUUUAUGGUUAUUUUUGCAUAGUUAUGUAGUGUGAUUGUAGUUGUGCUGCUGCUAGCCAACAAUCAUUGUUAACGUAAAAGAGCAUAAACAAAUAAUUAAACAAAUAAAACAUCGUGAGUAUAUGUUUUUAAAAUAAAAUGCUUGCUUAUCUCUUGGACGUUUGUCAUUGUUCCAUCUUAAGCAUUCUUUUAGUGGACAUUUGUCCUCGUGCUUAUCUACUCUUGAGGUUUGUCUUGAUUGAGGUUUGUCUUGAGAUGACCUUAAUUAUCUUUUUUUUUAUGUUCUUCUACCUUGUAGGCUCUGUUUCGGAGGGGAUCCAUAAUGAAAUAUGAUUCUUUCCCAGUUGGGUGGAAGCUUUCUUUCUGCUUUAUGGUUGGACUUUCUAUAGGCUAGGUGUGCCCUUUGUAUAAUUCUUUCUUGGAUUUGGGUAUUGCAAUAUCAGAUUGUAAUCUACUAAUGUAGUUGGGCACCAGAACACCAAGUUAUUCCAUUACUCGGACAUUGGAAAGCAAAGUUUCUAUUGUACUCGGUCAUUGGGAAGUCGAUCUUUUAAUGUACUCAGUCACUGAAAAGUUACACUUCUACUGUACUCGACCCCUGAAAAGUCGAGCUUCUACUGUACUCAGUCACUAAAACGUUCGACUUAUUCUUGUGCUCACUGAAGUCUUCUUGGACUUAAUAAGAUACUCUUGUACUCGACAUAAAUACAAUAAGCUGAUAUUGUACUCGGGACACUAGAUCACCGGGUUUACUCCUAUAUUUAGACAUUGAAAUGCCAAGUUUGAUGUUGUACUCUGACACUAUACCGGUGAGUAGAUCUUGUGCUCAUUGAACUCUUCUUGUACUCAAGUAUUGGAACGCUAAGUUUCUCCUGUAUCGGGCUGCCGAUUUACUACUAUGCUAGAUAUCAUCAUAUCGAGCUUUGUUUUUGUUCUUUUUGUACUUGGGUCAAGUUGCUCACACACCGAAAUGUCGAGUUACUCUAGUGCUUGGUUGUUAUAUUGCUUGUUGUGUUCGAGCACUAGGAUUCAUAUGCGUUUUUGUACUCGAGUACUGGAAUGUCGAGCUUCUUUUGUACUUCGUGCCUUUCUUAUACUUGAAUACACGCCAAAUUGUUUGAUAUCUUUUGUUGAUUCCUUGCCUCAUAUAGAUGUUGUUUUUUUUCUUGAUUGGAGGGCAUUUAUCACUGUCUAAGUAUCUCAGGUAUCUCCUUUACAGUCUUUUAUUGAAUAUUGAGAAACAUGAAUAUUAAUAAAAAGAAAAAAAGAUUAUUAUUAGGAAUUAGGAUGUGCCUCAUUAAAACCCUGCCUAACAAGAUCCAUCUUAUGAAAAAAUCCGUUAUAACGAAAAAAAGUACACACAUUCUCAUAGUACAUUCAGAGAAGGAAAAAAAGGUUCAUAUAAUCGUGAAAUGUUUUAACUAUAAUAUGCCUUUAAAUGUGUUGGGAUGAGCUUGCCUCUAGCUCUUCGGGCGUUGUUGUCCAAAACAACUUCGAUGAUGUGGAAGCAUUGGUAUGUAACAUAGGAAAACUCUAGAAAUGAGGAGGGUUUUGAUGGAGAUUACUUUGAGGUGACUCCUUCAACAUAAGAUGAUCUCCUAGAUGAGUUUAUGAAGAAAGCAAGAAGAGCAUAAAAAAAAUGAACAAAUUUGGCUAAGCCAAGAAGAGGUAACGAGAAACAAAAAUUGGAAUUUGUGAUUUUCUCUAUUUUUCAACUAAAAGAGCUUUGAUAAUUAAUAAAUGUAUAUGAUAAAAGAUAUUUUAGAAAAAAAAUAUCUUAAGAUAUUUUAUUUAAUAUUGUUAAAUAAUUAUCCUAUUUAANUAUAUCAAUAAAUAUAAAAAGAUAAUAUUUGUCAAAUCUUUUAAAGUGUAAUAAAUAUUUUUUUCAAAUAUUUUUAGAUCUCCACAACAAUUAAAUAUAUCUUGAAAAAAUUGAAUUAGGAUAUUAUAUUAUGAUAUGAUCAUAUAUGAGACAACAAUGAAGAGAUUUUAGAGUUAAAAAAGAACAAAAAGAAUAGAAUAGGUUUUCUUGGAUUGUAUUUGCCUCUUUUGUUCUUUCAUAGCUUUCUCCUUUUGUCACUUGUAGUGCAAGUAAACAUGCAUAGUUUGUAGCUUUCAAAUUCUAGACUUGCUAGAAAGCUUAUAAACCCUUUAGGAAUGAAAAAUUUAAGAGAUGUGAGACUAAUAUACACUUAGGACGCUGUUAGUCAACUUGGGAAGCAUUCCAAGUCCCAAUUAGAUUAACUACAAUAGCUAAAGCAUUGAUACAAAUGCAGCUUUCCAGAACCUUUCUGGUUUCAAUCCCUCAAAGGAUGUAAGAUCCUCACAAUCUGCAACAAAGUAGAGCCCUAAAAAUAAUCCUUCCCUGAAAUCUUACUGCCUAAAACCUUCUCCACAAACGACCUUGCGGUUCUCUCUGACUAAGGCACCACAGAACAGUGUUUGAAGUACGCUGUUGCUAUAUUUUGCUCAACUUGUUCCUGACAAAUCCUCUGCACCGAUGUUUCCCCAAGAACUACCGAAAUACGUGUUCAGAAACAUAAUUGGCUGUUGUGCAAUGCAAAACUUACUGUUCAUUUUAGUAACUGGUCAGUCAACUUUUUUAAAUCCCUCAUGAUGAGCGUGUUGUUAGUUGUGUACCUAUGAUUAUACCUGUUGUGUAUAGCCCUUAAGUAAGUACUAUGAUAGUGGUCAAUGCUAUUAAUUUCGAGCUAUAUUGUUUGCAUGAAGGUUGGAAUUGUUUCCUCGAUCUAUUUGUUGUUUGUUGGCUGUGCACUUUUAUGUUAGUAAGUUCUUUUACCAUUUAAAUAUGUUAGAGAGAAUGAAGUAUUGAUUCCUGAUUUAUGAUCCUAUAUGCUUUCAGCCAAGCCAAAAUGGUUGCAGAAGCAUUGGCAAGUGGUAACUUGAGGAGGCUCAAACUGAAUCACAUUUUCAAGGUCAUGUUCAUGAUUUCGAUGAAAAGCCAUCCUUUUACCAAAAUGAUUGUUUUAUCCUUUUUGAGACACAUUUUUAACUCAAAACUUAAGAGCAUUUCAUUUUUCAUUUGUGUUCUCUUCUGAAGACAGACAAACCAAUUGAGUUAAAAGCCAUUGAAGGUUGAAGAUUCCAUUGAUGGCUGCUGAUGAACCAAUUGAACCUUUCCAUCUUUGUUUUUUUCCUCUCUCUUUUCAUCUUUGUUAUAAACAAACCAUAACCAAGGGUAUCAGCAGCACUGUGAAAGAGAUAAUUAGAACUUGCACCUCUGCUAAUGGGGAUAUUGAGGUUCCUCUUGAUUCGUGUUAAUCCAUUUUCGAAGAUUUGGUUUCAUUGUGUUUCUUUUUUGUGGCAAUUUGUUUUAUUUUUGAAUUUUUGGAUUUGUUUUUAGAAAUGGUUUUAAUAGUCAAUUGAAAAAUGAUGGUUAAGAAUGUAGUUUGAUAACGCAUUGUUAGAAUUUGAGCAAUUUUUUAAGGAAUGGUGAUAUAUGAUAGGGAUUUCCAAAGCAAUUGUCAAAUUUUAACCUUGUUUCGAGGUUGUAAUUUUAUGAUCAAAUUCAGUUAUAUGUCAUAGUUUUACGAUAUAUAUAUAUAUAUAUAUAUAUAUAUAUAUAUAUAUAUAAAUAUAAACGAUGACAUUUCACAAAUUUAAUCUUUUAUUCCAUGUUGAGGUUAAUUAGAGCAAUUUGAAAUCGUAUAUAUUGUCGAGAGUAAAUUAUGUAUUUUUAUAUUUAUUCAUUCUAAAUAAGAGCUAUUUUUCUUUAUUACAGAGUUCUAAUACUAGAUUAUUGUUCUAAUACUAGAUUUUAUUAUUAAAGAAAAAUAGAGUGUAUAUUCUAAGAAGAGAAUACAAAUAUGUAAAAUAAGUAAAAACGUAUUUCUAGAUAGUUAGAAAGUGUCUAGUUUCUCUCAAUUCCCAGCCAAUUCCAACUCUCUUCUUCCUUCACUAUCUUUCCACGCCUUAUACCCAUACAAUAGAAUUACUCCUUUCCUAAUGUGUCAGUUCAGCAGUUUGUUACAUGGAAGGAUUCUUCCCAUUUUCUCUCUUGCCAUUUUGAUCCCUUGCUUUGCCAUUCCUUCUUUGUUUAACAUACACCUUAGAUAUUUUGGGUUUGGGCCUAAUUAUUUCCGAGUUCCUAUCAAUACUCCCCUCCACAAGAUGCACCUUGUCCUUAAGGUGGAGUUCUAAAAAAUGAUACAAGGUUGUUUCUCCUUUUAUAAGUGAAAGAGUAGACUAGGAUUCAAUGCACCUAAGAGGAACUAGAAGCUUCCUGUGACAAGGGGGAAAGAAUGGGAGCCUUCCCCCAUAACUUUUGUCCAAGUUCAAUGUAAGGGAGCCUCCCUUGAUGUUGACAUCUUUCAAGGCUUCCAAAGACCCAUUUCAUGCACCAACUUUCUAGAAUGAGCCUUAUUGGUGUGCUAGCUUUUCCUUAAGGCUACUAAGCUUCUAAAACAAAGCUAAAAAAAUGUCUUAGCCAAAUACAAGGCCUAAUGAAACUAUUUUACAUUUUUACAAAAGAUAUUAAGGAUAAAAGAAGAAGUCUAAUAAGUGAUCCUCCACAAAAGUAAUGUUCAUGAAGCUCCUUCUUCUUCUUCUUCUAUCCUUUUGACCAUGCUUCUUGCCAAUGGUCCAAGAUGUCCUCCUGAUGCUCCUUCAUCAGGUUUGGAUAGAGUUUUAAUUUUUUUUGCAAAACAAUGUUUAAUCUUUUUUUCAAGGGUUAGAUGGUCUGUAAUAGUUAUUAAACACUUAAGUCUUUAAAAGUGUUUAGUGAAGACCUUUGAAAAACAAAACCAAUAAGUCACACUUAUUUUUAUACUAGUUUGCUCCAAACUAAACUUGAUGACGGCAUAUACAUGUCAUCAUUUAGCCUUUAAUAUUGGAUUCUUAAUUGAUUUUUGUACUUUAAAAGAGUAUUCUAAUUAGGAUUUGUUAUAAUUGGCUUUAUUGAGCAUGAGAUACAAAAACAUGAUAAAAACAAUUUUUUAGUUGUAUAAAUAUUCUUUGGAUAUUUUGAUCUGUGUUAGUGCAACUGUAACUAAGUUGAGCUCAUUGAUGCAUGAAAAUAAAUUGAUUAAAGUUUCAUGACACCUUAAAGAUAAAUCCAAGAAUAGAAAAUAAUCAAAACAACAAGAAGUCAAACCAAACAUUUGAAGAAGGCAAGAAAAGCAUGAAAACAAUGAAUAAAUUUGGCUAAGGCAAGAAGAGGAAACAAAAAACAAAAAUUGAUCUUAUAGUUUUCUCUAUUUUUUUCAACUAAAAGAGCUUCGAUAAUUAAUAUAUGUUUAUGAUAAAAGAUAUUUUAAGAAAAAUAUAUUUUAAGAUAUUUUAUUUAAUGUUGUUAAAUAAUUAUCUUAUUUAACUAUAUUAAUAAAUAUAAAAAGAUAAUAUUUAUCAAAUUUUUUCAAAAUAUAACAAAGAUUUUUUCAAAUAUUUUAAAUCUCCACGAUAAUUAAAUAUAUCUUUUUGAAGAUAUUGAAUUAGAAAAUUAUAUUAUCAUAAAAAAAAUUACAUUCAAGACGUGCACAAAAAGACUUAUUUCCUUAUAUGGUUUUCUGAACUUAACAAGUAACCCGAAAGAAUUCUAAUACUUUUUGUCGUAAUCCAAGGAAAGUUAUACACAAUAAAACAAGGCAUGUAAACAUACCAAAGCAUAAACUAGUCACUGAUCAUAAUUGGUCAUUGAUGGACAUUAAAACUAAAAGCCUAAACUUGUUAGGUUGAAGAAUACAGGGUAGAAUCCAUAAAAUCUCAUUUGACAAGGGCUAAAAAAAUUAGAAUUUGCUGUUUGAUCCAGCAGGUAUAGUAUGGUGGAAUUUAACCUUGUUCUGCUGAAUUUUUCUGUUUUAAUUUCUGUUGGGUUUUACUAAUGUUUUUUAUUUAGAUAAUGAUAGUUUGACAACAUUUUAACAUUAUUUAUGUAUCAUUGUGUGAUUGGUUCAUGUUAGUGUUUUUUCUAAUUAUUAUUGUUGAUUGUAGAGUAAUUUUAAACUAAUCACAGAAUGUCAUAUAAAUGAUAUUAAAAUGUUGUCAAAAAAUAUUUUCAAAGUAUCAUUAUCUUUUUUAUUUAUAUUAUAGGUUUCUAAUUAAAGGUGCCAACUAAUACAACCAAGUCUGGACAUGUAUAAUAUAACGUGAAAAUCAUUUGAACAAUUUUUUUCUUUUUGAAAACCAUAUGUUAGGUUUUCAUUUGUAGUACUUCCUCACAAUGUUUGCUAGUUUUUAAUAACUCAUUGUAUUUGAAUUUGAAUUUUAAUGUGUAUAUUUGUUAUAUUUUGGUAUAAAAUUAUAUAACUUGUCAAUUGAUGAAUGUUAUAUCUAUUUAUGUAUAAAUUCAUCAAGCAUAGAUAAACAAAUACAAUAAUUGUAAACAAUCAUGGUUGAAAAAACAUAAACGAUAAAUAAAUGAAACAAACUAAUAUAUGUUUUAAAUAUCUAUGGUAGUUUAAGGAAGUUUUGAGACUCAUGGUAGUAUAUAUGAAAGUUUUGAAAGUCAUGAUACUUUAUGGAGAUUUUGAAAACCUAUGGUUGCUAUUGGUUGCUGUUUCUUUGGGGUUCGAAAAGAUCUUGGAUAACACAUUCCCAAUGAAUGGUUUAGAAGCCAAAAUUCAAAACACUGAUAAAUAACUUAAGGAAGGUUUUAACCCUUGGUAAUGUAACAAAAAGCCUUGGUUAAAACUAAUUUUUAUUGUAGUAUAAAAGAGUACGAGUGUCAAGUAGGUCCAAACUACUAGCAACAUUGAUCAAUCUUAACUUGUAAAUAAAUAAAAAAUAUAUAAUAAAUUAUUUUGGGUAUAGGUUAGAUUUUUUAGAUUUUGUAUUUGAUCCAAGUAUUAUUUUAGCUUCGAUUAGGAUUAGAUUAAGGUUAAUAUAACUUAAUUUCUUCAACUUUUGCAUUACAAUUCUAAUUCAACAACUCAACUCAUCUCUAGCUUGGAGUGACUGUCAUUAAUAUGGUUGUUCUUGUUAAGAAAAAAUCGUCUACAUGACUUAACUAUUUAAACAUUUUUAUAUGUUUUGAAAUUUAUAAACAGUAAUAAACGAAAUGAAUAUAUGGUAUUAUCAUCAUUAAAAUAGUAAUAUAGCUAAACUACAAAAGGUUUGUGGAAAUAUUCUAAAAAAAUCCAAACAUCUUAAGGAAAGUCUUAGUAAAAACACCUAGGUAUGAACAAACGCAUCACUAAACAAUUUUCCUAAUUAAUGCAUCAAUGAGAGUCUUGCUCAAAUGUAAUAAAUGUUAUACAUCGCUAGGCGAUGAUCAAACACACACUCGAUAUAUCUUGAUAGAACGACGAUUUGGAAAGCACGCUAAAAGUAUCAAAUGAUAUUCCAAAAACUUAUGUUGAAGACACCUUGCUAAAUGCAUCUUUGAAUGAAAUAGAGAAAAACUUACAGAAGUGUUUACAUAGGUUAGACGAUAUCAUGUGCCAAAUGAUCUACUUCGUCCAAUGGUGAAGUCUUCAUCAACUACUUGGUAUCUUAGUGAAAAGCUUAAACAAUCAAAUCUUACCUGAAUGGUAUAAAACGUAAAAAGCACUUUGUUGUUCUGAAUAGACAUUAAAUUCCAUUAAAUUCUCAACGUUUAAAAACAACAAAAGUGAUAAGAUAAAGGACGUAUCUGCUGCAUGCAUAUCUACCCUACUUUGUGUAGAUUGCCUAUUACACGCAUCCAACUGCUCCAUCCUAUAAAAAUGAGAAAUUGACGUUAAAAUCAAAGAAGAUAUUCACGAAAUAUUCUCUUCAUCAAAAGUCGUGCCAAAACAAUUUGUGCUGCCUACUUUUGUCAAAGUAUUGAAAAAGCAAGUUCGCUAUGACAAGUUGACUUUAACCAAUGACUGCCACAUCGACAAGACCGAGAAGACUCAAGAUUCAAAGCAAAGCUUUGUCUAACGAAUAUCUUUUUGAGAAGCCUUUAAAUAGAAGAUCAUUCAAAAAGAGAAUCAAGAUAAUAUAAUAUAGAAAGAAAAGGCUCAAGAUAACAACGUCGAGAGAAAGCUUAAAAGCACAUGAACUCAAAAGAGAAUAUCUGGGAGAGAAAAACUCAAGAAAAGAAACACUCUCAAGCUUCAUUGAUAUACAAGCUUACUAUUGUAAGAAGAGAGAAGAGAGAAAUAUUCAAUGAGUUUGUUAGAUUGAGUUUGUUAGAGUGGGUGAAACUCUGAUGUUUAACUUGGUGGAGUCAAACAAUAACUAGACGAGUUUGUCUAGUGGAAACCAAGAAUGAGUGAAACUUAACUAGACAAGUGUAUCGGGAAGAUACCAAGAGUGUCUAGGGAUAAUAAGAGUAGUGAAUAAUAUUGCACAACCAGGAUUGGGUGAAACAAUGGUUUCUUGGAAUGACUAGGGAUACCAGGAGUAGUGAGAAUACUCAGUUGUAAUUUUGUUGAAGAUUAUAGUGGAAUCCUCUAAGGUGUUAGAGGAGACUGGACAUAGCUCAAUGAAGCUAACCAGUGUAAAAAUAACUGUGUUUAUUAUUUUAUUCUUCCUAAACGUUUCUCUUACAAAUCUUGCAGUAUUCUCUGUUUGAAAACUUGUAUUGACCUUCUCCUCUUCUUUGUUCGAAAUCCUGUAUUGACGUUUUCCUCCUCUCUAUUUGAAAUCUUCAAAUUCGUGAACUCUUCUCUACUUGAAAUCCUUAAUUUCAUAAACAUUCAUUUUUUUUUUCUAAACCCUAAUCCCAAAAUUUCCAUAUCACCAAGUCAUUAUUGGGUUAUCGUCACAAAAACAAAUGCCACGACACUAAAAAAUUCCAAACAUAGUAUGACCAAUAAGUUAACAUUAACUAUUUAAAUGUCGUGACUUGAUUGAUGUAUAUUAAUCCAAAUGUGGAACCAAGUAGACAUACUAUCCUAAAAGUAGAACCACUGAACAAUUAAAUCUAAAAAAAAUUGAUUCCAUAUAGAUUAUUGUGAAUAGACUAAUGAAGUCAAUUUACUAUUUAUCUAUUAACAUUAUAUAUUCAUUGGGAAAGUUCACUAAGUUAUACAUAAUUAUAAUUUUUGUUUAGAGUAUAUAAUUGUUUUUAUAAAUUUCAUUAAAAACAAAAUUUGUAAAAAUGUAUCUAUAAUCAAAUUAAAAUUAAUAUAAUUUUAUUAAUUACAAAAAAUAAUUAAUUGGGACGUACAAUGACUAUAUUUUUUUUUUUUUUAUAUCGAGAUCUUAAAAAUAUCAUUUGUUCUUCUCUAACUUUGUGUAAAUUACUACAAAUAGUAUUUCCAUACGUUUCACUUAAAUUGUGAGUACUUUUAUUGAAUUUUUGUAUUAAUGAUUCACACACACCUUAUAACCAACUUAUCAUAUCAAAACAAGAAUUUUGACUAAUACCCAGUUUAUCAUAGAACAUUUCAAAAUUGUCAUAAAAAUAAAUUAUUUUCUAUUUUUUUAAUAUAAACACAAUGUAAACGUGUAAUCUAGCGAGUAAUUUAACCACUAUUAUAAUUUAUUUAAACGAUUAUUUUUAAACUAAAUUACUUAUAAAUAAUUAAGUUUAUAAAUUAAAAUGUUAAUAUAAGAUUAAGUUCAAAUAGUAAUAAUAAAUAAUUAUCUGCGGUAAUUUCUUUUAGAAAAGAAGACCAAAUCUAGAAAAAAAAUUAUGUGUUCAAAGACAUUUAACAAAAAUUAACCAGUGAAUUACAGUAGAAUAAAGUUACUGUUUUCAAAUACCAUUCCAUCCGAUCCCACUGUGCCCUUAGCAGCGGAACGGAGAAAGGGUGACAGUGAUACAGUGUCACACAAGCUGUUUCCCUUAGUGUUGGGUUCGAUGGGUGAGUGCCGGUAUUCAUGCAAGAGCGCUGUCGAGACACUGGCAUGGAUCAACGACAUUAUCCACUUCCUUGCGCCUUAUUCUUCCUUAAUCAAUGCUCACGUUGUCAAUUUCUUCAAGGUUCAUCUGAAUUCCACUUUUCACUUUUUUUUUUUUAAUUUGUAAUUUAAUUAAGUAUAAGGAAAUGGUGAUGAUUGAAUUUCAGGAUAGGCUAUGGGAGAAUGUUGAGGCCGAAUGGAUCGAAUGCCUGCGCCGUGAACCUGUUCAAAAUCUUCUGCUGAUACCUUCUGGUGCAGUUCAGGUUGCUUUUUCCAAUAUUCCUUUUUCUUAUUUAUUUAUUUUUAUUUCUCCAAUUUAGGUUUUCUGUUUAGCAAUAUUUGCUGAAAUGCAUCCUUUGUUGUUUGGAUUAGUUUACGCUUGCUUGCCUUGUUGAUAUAGAUUAUUUCUGAUUCCGUUUUAAGAGCUCAGGUUUAACUUUAGUAUUUGAUUUGGGAUGCUUUGCUUAAUUUGAUAAUGGCUACUUGUUAUCUUUGCAUUCUGUGUUUUAUAGCUCCGAUGUUAUUGUCUUUCAUUGCUAAAAUUAAAUUCCUCCAUGACAUCUGGGCUAUGUUUGGUUUCACUUCUUCAAAAUCACUUAAGUAAAGGAACUUCUGUAUAAACUAAAAUUAACAUAUAUUUUGAAAAUAGUGAAAACAAGGAAUACGGUUAAUUUUCCCUUGUGUAGAAAAUAUAUAUAGGGUAAUAUAUUUAUAACGAAGAAUAAUAAAAGAAAAUAUAGACUAAGUCCAAACACACAUAUUAUUGUAACUAACAUAAGAUAUUCUAACUAACAAUGUCUUAACAUUAUUUAAUACUCCUCCUUAAUCUUGUGCUUAUAAAGUGCCAAACUUACGAAUAUAAUUAAUUCUAGGUCUUUAGGUACAAUCUUUUCUCGAAUAAAAUGAUAGUCAAUUUCAACGUGCUUGAUCCUUUCAUGAAAGAAAGAUUACAACUAAUAUUAAGAACAACCUGAUUGUCUAAUAUAAGUGUCAUUUGAGUGACAUCUCCAAUGGAAUAAUGGAAUAAGGAACCUUAUUAUUGAGAGAAGAGGACAACAUUCUAUUAAUAAGAAAACAAGCAAUAAAGAUCACAUCGCCCUCUCCCCAAUGAUGGACUCGUACAUUAGCACCAAGCAAUAAGGUACGAAUAGUCUCAGCCAAGUGACUAUUUUUUCUCUCUACAAUAUCAUUUUUGUUCAGGAGUAAGGACCAGUAGAUUGAUGUAAAAUGCCAUGUGAACUUAAAACUCUAGAAAAAUUAGAGAAGUCCUCUAUGGCAUUGUCACUCCGUAACUUUUAAUUACUUUUCCAAAUUGAUUUUUAAUUUCAUUCAUAAAAGAUGUAAAGGUAGACAAUAAUUCUUCUUUCAUAAGAUAAAUCCAUGUGAACCUAGAGUAUUCAUCAAUGAAAGUAACAAAAUAAAUGAAACCAAAAGAUGAGACAUGACUUGGUCCUAAAUAUCAUAAUGAAUAAUAGAAAAAAUAGAAUUACACCUUGGUUCAAAUCUUUUUGGAAAGAAGAUCUAAUGUGUUUACCUAAAUGACACGACUUACAUUCUAAUAGCUAAAGACUACUAAGUCCGGGAACCAUUUUUAUUUUAAUUUUGACAAUUGUGAAUGUCCUAUAUGGUCAUGCAAAAGUUUUGUAGAUGGAGAAGCAAAAAAAGACACACGUUGACUAGCUCUAAAAUUGUACAAACCUCCAAACUCAUAUCUUUUUCCAAUAAGUCACCUUGUAUUACGUUUUUGUAUAACAAAGGAAUUGACAUCAAAAGUUAUUGAACAAUUUAAAGACUUGGUUAAUUGACUCAAAUAAAUAAGAUCGAUUGAACAAAAGAAAGAACAAAAAGAACUACUUUUACAUUUAAGAAAGGAGAAAGUGAAACCUGACCAAACCCUUAGGAGGAGAUUUUAGAGCCAUUGGCUAAUGUGAUGAAAAAAGGAUUUUUGGAAAGGAAAGAGAUGAAAUCAAUGAGGCAUUACCAAAAAUGUGGUUAGAAGCAAUGAUUCAAUUUUAUCCAUGGACUUUGACCUUCCAUGGAUUGUGAGAUUCAAGCUAUCGAGAAGCUGUGAUUUAUAGAUGAUUAUGCCAAGCUAUUAGAUUUCAACCUCAAAUAUUGUUGGUAUUCUUCAUCAGAGAAUUUCGGUUUAACAAUUUCAAUACUAGAGACAUUGGUUGUUUUGUUAGGAAAGCCGUGCAAAGAGAAAGAGACAAGUGUUCCAAACAAUGUCGUUGGCAGAGAAGGAGAAAACAACUAAGGUAGAUGAGAACCCUAGGGUGACCUUCAACUAUUAUGCCUUUGACCAUGUCAGAAUGAAUUUCCAAAGUUCAAAACAGAGACAGGGAGUUCUAGUGAGACCUGUGAUGGCGGCAUGACAAAGUUCCUAUGAGAGGAAGGCUACACGUGGGUGACAAGUGUCUAGUAAUGGCGGACACAGAAUGAGCGUGUUGUAGUGUGUGGAGGAGAACCAACUUCUGGGAUAGGUGGGGUUAGCUGUCGUUCAGAAAGACCCUUUAGAUCCGGUAGUUGCUGGUGAAAACUUUGGACGGUGGUUGACAGACACGAUGAAUGGUGAAAAUUGCGUCAGAGAAGACUGAGACUAUAUUUAAGUUGAGAUAAAUAAAAGAGACUAUAUUUAAGUGUAAAUUGAGAGAGUUUGAAAACUCCCCCCAUUUGUUUCAUAUUUAUAUUGAUAGGAUUAUGAUACAAUGUUUAUAGGGAAGAUCAAAGAUCAAUUAUAGUUACAUAGGGACUAAGAUAGGUAAGACUAAUAAGUACUAGUAUUUUCCUAAUACAACUACUUGCUAACUAUAUUUAAUGCUUAUUCUAACACAGAUAAAGGAAAUACCCAAAUCUCUGGAUAUUGUGAUGUUGAUUGCACAUGUUAUCCUAUGGAUAGAUUUUCUACUGCAAGAUAUUGUGUUUUCAUUGGAGGAAAUAUUAUCUUUGAGAAACAAAAUGUAGUUCCUGGUCAAUUGUUGAAGCUGAGCGUAGGGCAGUGACAUGUCUCACUUGUGAUCUUGUAUAACUUAGAGUUGGGAGAGAAACUAAAAUUUUAUUAUUACUGUUUUCUUAACCCUAAUACAUCAUACUAUCCUAUUUAUAAGGGAUAGUAGUUCAACAUACAAAGGAAAAACAGAAGGCCCUAAAAGGCCUACUAGAAAAAUACAUUACAUUUUAACACUCCCCCUCAAGCUGGAGCAUAUAGAUCAUAUACACCAAGCUUGGAACAUAUAAAUUGAAUUCUAGGCCUCCUUAGAGAUUUGGUCAGAGUGUCUCUGAUUUAUUCAUUAGAGUUGACAAACUUAGUAACAAGUUCCUUGGACAACAACUUCUUUCUAGUAUAAUGACAGUCAAUUUCUAUGUGUUUUGUUCUCUCAUAAAACACUAGAUUAGAGGAAAUAUAAAAGGGCUGCAUGGUUGUCACAGUACAAUUUCAGCUGCUCAUUUUCACAAAAUUUCUUUUCUUGAAGUUGUCUGAUCCACACAAGUUUGCAUGUAGUUAAAGCCAUAGAUUGGUAUUCAACUUCAGCAUUAGAUCUAGCAACAACACUUUUGUUUCUUACUUUUCCAAGAUACAAGGUUCUCUUCAAGUAAAACACAAUAUCCUAUAGUAGAUCUUCGAUCAAUUGGACAACCAGCCCAUUCUGCAUCACAAUAUCCUUCGAUCCAAGUGCUUCCCUUAUUCUCAUACAACAAUCCCUAUCCUGGGUUUCCUUUUACGUAUCUAAGAAUGUGAAUCAAUGCAUUCCAAUGGUCAACAUGUGGAUUCUGCAUAAAUUGACUCACAACUCUCACCGGAUAAGAAAGAAGGUCUUGUUAUGGUAAGAUAUGAGUUUUCCAACGAGUCUUCUAUAUCUCUUCGGGUCUGAGAAAGGUUCACCUUGAUCUCUCAUUCACUUUUGAUUUGAGUCCAUAGGACUAUUAAUUGGCUUGCAAUUUGUCAGGCCUGUUUCUUCUAAAAUAUCAAGAGCAUAUUUCCUCUGUAUAAUGAUGACACCAUCUCUUGACUGUGCCACUUCAAUACCAAGAAAACAUUUUAGACAACCCAAAUCUUUAGUUUGAAAAUGGUUGAACAAAUGAUUCUUUAAUUGAGUAAUUCUAGUGAUGUCAUUCCGUGUAAUAACAAUAUCAUCAACAUACACCAUGUGAUAAACACAUUUGUCAGGAGAAGAAUGACCAUAAAACACUAAAUGAUCUGCCCCCACAUCGUUUCAGUCCAAAAUUUUGCACAACCCGACUAGAUUUACCAAACCAGGCUCGAGGUGAUUGCUUCAAGCAUAGAGGGAAUGAUGUAAUAUACAAACUAACCUAGACUCCCUCUAAGCAACAAACCCAGGAAGUUGCUCUAUGUAUAUCUCCUCUUCUAGAUCACCAUGAAGAAAGGCAUUUUUAAUGUCCAACUGGUAAAGGGGCCAUUGACGAAUGACAACCAUAGCAAGCAAAACACAAACCGUACUGGUUUUAGCCACAGGAAAAAAGUAUCACAAUAGUCAAGGCCAUAAACCUGAGUAUAUCCCUUAGCUACUAGACAAACUUUGAGACGAUCAAUUUCAAUAGUAGAACCAACUUUAAUAGCAUAGACCCAUCUACAACCAACAGGCUUCUUACCAGAAGGAAGAGGGACAAGGUUCCAAGUGCCAUUGUGUUCAAGUGCUUGCAUUUCAUCAAUCAUGGCUUGUAGCCAUCCAGGAUGAUCAAGUGCCUCAUGAAUAUAAUUAGGAACCUUAAGGGAGGAUAACUAGGAAACAAAAGAGAAAUAGGGAGGCGACAAACAAUGAUAACUAAAAAAAUUAUAAACAGGAUAUGGAUUACGAGUAGAGCAAAUAUCUUUUCGAAAGGCAGUGGCCCAAUUAUUAGUCGAGUCAAGAGAAGGCGAGGAGGAUGAAGGAUCUAUGAUCGGGGGAUCUGAUGGAGGAGGAUCUGAGUCUCAAGGAUCUUUAGUGUUCUGAGUCUGAGAUUGUGUCUGACGCUAAUAUGUGAGAAGAGGUGGAGGAACAAUGUCAUUCACAUUUUGAGUUUGAGGUACAAAAGUAGGAAUAACCAAGGGAUCACAUGAUGGUAGAGGAAACAUUUGUUAAAUAGAUAAACGAUCCUCCAUGGAGGAUAAGAAAAAGGUGUGUAUCCUCAAAGAAUGUGACAUCAACAGACAUAUAAUAUCUCUUGGUGGAGUGAGAAUAACAUUUAUACCCUUUGUGAAGACGGGAGUAUCCCAAGAAAACAAACUUAAUAGGUUUUUUAGAGAGUUUAUCAAGACCUGGAGAAACAUUAUGGACAAAACACAAACACCCAAAUACACGUGGAGAGACAUGGUAUAGAGUGUCGUUUGGAAAAAUGACAGAGUGAGGAAUUUUAUUCUCAAGAGAGGAAGAAGCCAUCCUAUUGAUUAGAAAACAGAUAGUGAGGACUGCAUCACCCCAAUGAUGCACAAGAAUAUUAGUAUUCAACAUCAGGAAGCGUCCAGUUUCAAUGAAAUGUCUAUUAUUUCUCUUUGCAAUACCAUGUUGUGGAGCGUGAAGACAUGUUUACUAAUGUAAAAUUCCUUAGGAACAUAAGAAUGAAGACAACUUUGCAGAAAAAUAUUCCUUAGCAUUAUCACUCUAGAGGAUUUCAAUUGUCUUCCCAAAUUGGUUCUUAAUUUCAUUAAAAAAGGACAUAAAUAUGCACAAAAGUUCAGAUAUCUCUUUCAUUAAAUAAACCCAAGUACAUCGAGAGAAUUCAUCAAUGAAGGUUACAAAAUAAUUUAAACCAAACGAAGUAACACAAUUUUGUCCCCAAAUAUCAUUUGAGAGGGGAAAAUUACAUCGAGUCUCAGACCUUUUAGGAUAGGAAGAUCUAACAUGUUUUCCUAACUGAUGAGACUCAUAAUCUAAGACUUGAAUGUUCUUGAGACUCAAAACCAUCAUCUUCAACUUACACGAACUCUGAUGACCUAAACGAUCAUGAUGGUAGAAUUGAAGGACGAUCCUGUGGGGAAUGAGAGUCUAAAGAAGGAGAAGGAUCAUAGAAAAAAGGAAUAUCAACCGUAACAGGUGGAGGUACAGAUCGAGAAGAUAAAUGUGAAAAGUAAAACGAAAAUUCAUCAAAAGUGACAUCAACUGAGAUGAAAUGACGAUUGAGGGAAGGGGAAAAACACUUAUAGCCCUUUUGUGACCGUGGAAAUCCUAAGAAGACACAUUUGUGAGCUCUAGGAGAUAACUUAUCAAGACCAGGACUAAAAUUAUGAACAAAACGUGUAGACCAAAAAACUCUAAGAGGUAAUGGAUGUAAAGGGUCUUGAGGAAAUAAGAUAGAAUGAGGGAUUUUGUUAUCUAGGACAGAAGAUGACAUGCGGUUUAUGAGAUAACAUGCAGUAAGAACUGCAUCACCCCAAAAAACGUGAGGGUACUUGACCAUGGAUUAGAAGUGUACAAGUUGUUUCAAUAAGGUGUGUAUUCUUGCGCUCAACCACCCCAUUUUGUUGAGGGGUAUAAGCACAUGACAUUUGGUGAAGAAUACCAUGAGAAGCCAUAAAAUGUUUAAAUGGUUGAGAAAGGUAUUCACGGCCAUUAUCACUGCGUAAAGUGUGAAUAGAAACCCCAAACUGAGUUUUUAUUUCAUUGAAAAAAGUUUGGAAAAUAGAAAACAACUCAGAACGAUUCUUCAUUAGAAACAACCAAGUACACCUGGAAUAGUCAUCAAUAAAGGUAACAAAAUACUGAAACCCUAAAGUUGACUUAACACGACUAGGUCCCCAAAUAUCAGAAUGAAUCAAUGAAAAGGGGGAUGACGCUCGUUGUGAAACACUACGAGGAAAGGAACUACGAGUAUGUUUACUUAACUGACAAGACUCACACGACAAACUUGAUAAUUUUGACAAACUAGGAACAAGUUGCUGUAGUUUGGCAAGACUGGGAUGACCUAAUUGAGCAUGAAGAAGGGAUGGUGACUCCAUGAUUACGCCAACAUGUGGAGAAGGGCGGAGAUGAUAUAGGCCAUGAGACUCACAUCCUGUUCCAAUCAUGUGUUUCGAACUCCGGUCCUGCAACCUAACAGAAUAUUUGGUAAAUGAAAUAACACAAUUAAGGGAACAAGUUAGACGACUUACGGACAAUAAGUUAAAAGGAGACCCAGGGACAUAAAGUACAUGAUCAAUGGAUAUGGACGGAAAAAUAUGAACAAUACCAAUACCAUGAGAUGAGACUCUAGACCCAUCAGCCAUUGUUACCGAGGGUAAAUUAUCCGGAUAGGACAAGGAAGAAAACAAGGACUUGUUACCGGUGAUAUGAACGGUGGCGCCUGAGUCAAGGACCCAAGAUCCGAGAGAGUGAGUUAGACCAACAAAAGGAUUUCCUGUGACUGUAACAGAAGCAAAUGUAGUGGAACUCAGGCGCUGACGGUCCUCAUACCAUCUGAGAAAUUCCUGAAAGAGUGCAGGGUUGUCUAUGCUAUUUGAUGAAAUAGGAUGGUCUGGGCGAGACAGACCCCGAUUAUUACGUUGGGCAGCCAUGGAGAGGGAGAGACCCUAAAAAUUCAAUGUGCUCCGAUUGAAGCAACGACCACAUAUCUGGAAAGAGGGCGAGGAGGCGAUCAUAGCGGUGUUGGUCGGCGGCGGUGGGCUCCGGGGACGAGCCGGCACGCGCGGCGAAAAGCGGCGGAUUUGUGAACUCCGACGACGGUGUGUGGGGACGCGUGGGUGCUCCGAUCACCGCGAUCUUUGGACCACGAUGGUCGCCCGACCGAGAUGAUUCAGAUGGAGUGGUCGCCGGUCGAUUCUGGAACUCCGGCGACGGCGGCGGCGGUUGCGACAGUGAUGAGUACCGGAGACCGUGGAAGAGGCUGGAACAAAUUAGAACUUAAGCUCUAGAUACCAUGUGAAAUAGUGAAAGAGAUGUGGAGAAAUCUCCCUUGUGUCUUUGCAUACACAUAGGGUAAUGUAUUUAUAAUAAUAAGAAUGUGGGCUAAGCCCAUAUACAAAUGAAUAUGUAAAAAUAAAAUAAUAAGCAUAGGGACUAUAUUUCCCUAAUUAACAUAAACACAUAAUAUCUAACAGUAACAAAUGAGGGAUUUUUGGAGAGGACAUGGAAGAAAAUGAAGGAAUGUUACUAGAGAUAUGGUCGGAGACACCUAAGUCAAGGAUGCAUGGACUAUGACCUUCCACAGAUUUAGAUAUGUAAACAGUUGACACAUUAGAUAUUGAUGAGGAUUGACCAAGAUUAGAAGAUUUUCCACAAGACUUGUACCUACAAAAUUCUUGGUAUUUUUCAUUUGAAAUUAUGGAUUCUAGAUCAUCAGAUUUAGAAACUUGAGCAACUUUGUCUAGAUAUCCAUGUAAGGCAUAAUAUUUCGCUCGACUAUGACCUAUUUUUUAUAAUAUGUGUAUUGAGGACGCAUACUACGACCACCACAUCCUCCUCGGUUGCCUCUACCUCCUCUUCCUUGUGGUGCUACCAUAGCUGAUAUUUCAACACCAUCAAUUGAAUAUUCGUCUUUAACUAAUGUAGGUACUCGAAGAAGUCGAGUAACUAGGCUGUCCAUUGAUGGGACUUGAUCACCAGCUAACAUUUGAUCACAAACAUGAUCAAAAUCUGAGUGUAGACUUCUUAGAAUUAGGACCAUGUGAAACUUAUCAAGCUUCUUGUUUAUGCCUUCUAAAAAAUCAACCACAGGAAUUCUUCAAUUCCUUUACAGCAGCACAAGCCUUUCCUAUGUGAGCGACCAUAUCAUGAUUUACUUGUUUCAGGGAAGUCACUCUUUGAGUGGCAUCAAAGAGACGUUGCACAUCAUUAGCAAAGAUAUCCUAUGCUCUUUUCCAAAAAGAGGAGUACGCUUUGUAAGAUCUCAAAUUUUCUAAGACCUCUUUUUCGACAGAUUGCCAUAGAACAGUACAUAAUUGAAAAUCAAGCUUCUGCCACUAAGAUUUUUCUUCGUUGGGUACACUGGAAAUAUCUUGUUCAACAUGAUCAUGGUAUCCUUGACCAAGAAACCAUAACGACAAGAAAGAAGGCCAAGAUAAAUAGUUUUUCCAGCUAAAUUUUGUAGAAGUAAUGGUUGGAGUAACAGAUAGAGGUGUUCCAAGACCAGAAGCUAUUCUAAGGCCAAAUAGAAGAGGGAAAAUCUGAUUUUGAGAGUAGAAACCCUAGAUCUGAGCUACUAUCAAUGAAACAACAAAACAGGGAACGCACUCAGGACAUUGAGGCGAAACGACCGACAAUAACGCAAUGAUGUUCCGGCAUGGGGAAGGUGACACAUGAAGCCCACACGCCGAGGUUGGCUGGAAAGAAGCGGCAUGUGAUGACACAUUGGGAGGAGAAUGAAGCGGCGACCACCAAUGAUGGGUCAUGCUCCUUGAGGUGCACUUAAUCCUUGACUUUGCCAAAGAAAAAGCUGCGGUGGUGACGGACAGCAAUGAUAAUGACGGUUAGCAAUGACUGACAACAACAGUGACGACACAAACUGAAAGCCCAGGCGGCUGGCUCUGGAUACCAACUUAGAGAGUUGUGAGAGAAACUGAAAUUUAACUAUCAUUUUAUUAGGGAAAAGUUUUUGUCGGUGGAAAUCUGUAUUGAGUUUGUUGGAUUUAAUGAACUUGUAGAUGUGUUAACAAAAUCCUCGAGAAGACCAUGGAUUGAAUUGAUUUGUACGAAACUUGGUACAUACAAUUUGUCUACCUUCAACUUGAGUGUGUGUUAUAAUAGGUCUUAAAUUGGCUUUAUUGAAAAGUUGAUGUGUGCUGUACCUAGGACUAUAGAUUUCACCUUUCUUAUUCUUUUGUAUUCCCUCUCACUUAUUGUAUCUGAACUACCAUUGCCAGUAUAAAUAUGAGAACUUCAGAGAGGGGAAUUAAGCUCUGUGAUAAAUUUUCUUUUCCUUAUUUUUAUCUAAAGUGGCUACUAUUCUUAUGCUGAAGUUAUUUGCUUAUUUGGGACAAAAUAAUUUAUUUGGCUUUCAUGGUAUUUAUUUAGUGAACAGUUAUUUUUAAGGGUUUCUUAGAUUGAUAUGCUGCAGGAUUGGAUUUAUGUUUUGCAUAUAUGUUUUUUUCUUCUUUCUGACUUUGGAUGUGUACAUGUUCUCCUUUGUUAACAAUGAUAUAUGAUAUAUUUUCUCCUUGCAUGUAAUAAAAACUUGGUGGCAGGAUGAAUGGCCAACUUCUUUGAAGGAGUUCAUCCUAAAAUUAAGGUCUAUGGUAUUUUGUCAAGAUCAAGCAGAUAUGAACAUGGUAUGUAAUCUUUUCCUUGUUACUCACCUUUACCAUGGUAAAAUCUGGGCUAGAUCUUGUUGAUUGAAAUUUAAAUAUUUAAUGAAAGGGCUUACACAUUCUAUUUGGUUGUUUUGUAUCUUACUAAUAUAUUAUCACAGAAACAGAAUCCAUUGGUUACAGAUUGGGGCUCUCUAUGUGGCAAUGCAUAUUAUUCAUUUAUCUUGUGCUGCUUGUAUUAUGAGAGUGUCAAUUGGACUUUUUUACACUGAAUUUUCUCAUGCCCUUUCCAUUUGAGCUAAUGAAAACUUGGUGACUAGUUGUUGGAAAAUGAAAUGGAUCAACAUGCCUAGAUAGAAAAGAAACUAAGAACUAAACAAAAAUAAUUAAGAAAUGGAAUUAAAAGACUAAAAAUGAAAGAGAGAAAGGAAAGGAAACUUAGGGAAAUGAAGAAUAAUUAAGAAAUGGAAUUAAUAUACUAAACAUGAAAGAUUGAAAGGAAAGGAAACUUAGGAAAAUGAAGCCACACCAUCAUACUAAGAGACAAAGUUCUAUCUCAAAGAAGUAAUGCAAUUGAAUGCAAAACAUUCUUUAUACUCAAAUCUUAAGGUGUAUGUUACAAAGGAGGUCNNNNNNNNNNNNNNNNNNNNNNNNNNNNNNNNNNNNNNNNNNNNNNNNNNNNNNNNNNNNNNNNNNNNNNNNNNNNNNNNNNNNNNNNNNNNNNNNNNNNNNNNNNNNNNNNNNNNNNNNNNNNNNNNNNNNNNNNNNNNNNNNNNNNNNNNNNNNNNNNNNNNNNNNNNNNNNNNNNNNNNNNNNNNNNNNNNNNNNNNNNNNNNNNNNNNNNNUAUCUCAAAGAAGUAAUGCAAUUGAAUGCAAAACAUUCUUUAUACUCAAAUCUUAAGGUGUAUGUUACAAAGGAGGUCUUAGGUUGCUUAUAUAGUUGUAAGACAGGAAGUAGUGUUAGAAGUGAACUUUAAGCCUAACUCAACCCCACAAAACCGGCUUGUAAGGUGAGGUUUGCACCCACUUAUAUACUAUGAAUUGGCCUUAUCUCUAGUCGAUAUGAGAUUUCCAACACACCCCCCUCACGCCGAGGUAUAUACAUCUCUAGUGUGGGAUUAGACAUUAAUGGGUGGUCCGAUAGCUGAUGGAACAAUAUGCCUAACAAACAACCAAUAUCACUAGGUUAGGCUUUAACGAUGUCUCUGAUACCAUGUUAGAAGUGGACUUUAAACCUAACUCAACCCCACAAAACUGGCUUGUAAGGUGAGGUUUGCACCCACUUAUAUACUAUGAAUUGGUUUUAUCUAUAGUCGAUGUGAGACUUCCAACAAGUAAGUUGAGUAAACUAAGGGAUGUGGGACUUAAAGACCUUAAAUCUGAAAUGUAUCAUCAAAAACAGGUUUUAGGUCCCACAUCUCUUAAUUCUACAUCACCUGAAAGGUAUAUAAGCUACCUAAGUAGCCUAAAGUCCAUAACUAAAACUAUACAAGAGGUAACUUGCAUUACAAGCAAACUAAAGGAGGAAAACUUAUUUAUUCUUCUUUUUUUAAGUCCAAGAUAUGUGAAGUUCCACAUUGCUUGUACUUUAAAGAAAAGAAGAAUAUAUAAGCUUCUCUACAACCAAACUAAAAAAGAAACUAGAAAGGCAAUAAAUACAAGCCUAUGAACAACCUAUGCUACUAAAGGCCAAAAUACAAGCCAUAAAAUCUAUGCUAUGUCUUUUUAUGCUUCUUGUCACUCUUUUAAUCUCUUCAUCCUUGCCCUAUCUAUAUUCACAUCAGAAAACCAUCUUAGUUUUAAUAACCCUAUCCCUCCUUAGUUCCAGUCUCUUUGGGGUUCCCUUAAUUGCAACCUCAAGGGUGGUGAUUUAGUCCUACAUUAAUUAAGGAUAGUUAUUAAGUUGAACUUAUAAAGCUUAGAAAACCCUCAUCUUAUAAGUUAGUUUUGUGGAGAUUGAGUCAGAUCCAAACCUAAAUUCUAAGACUAAGUAUUAUUGAACCUUCAAUUUAUUGGUUAUUUCGAUCCUUGAAGUGCAAUCCUUCAUGUUAUUUAUAUUAUGAUGCCUUUGCACAAUUUAUUUUAUAUGACCAACUUUUGGCCUUUAUUUUUGCUCUAUGUCAAUCUAUGCGGGUUUGAAAUAAUCAAGUAGGAAAAUCAUUUUAAAGAUCUUAUAUACUUUUUGAACAUAAGCUAUAUUUGUUUCAGAUUUCUGCUCGAGAAGGUUUUGUAUGUCAUAAUCUUGAUUCAUAUCAAUUUUGUUCUAUAUUUGCAGGCAAUACCUGGCUUGCAGAUGACUUCACUUAAUAGUGUUCUUGCCCAGGGCAUGAAUGUAAAGAAAAAACAUGAAGUGAGUCCUCGACUAUCAAAUUUUUACAAUUGUCUUCCCAAAGAAUUUACAAGGUCAAGGUUCUCUUUGGGAUGAGAUUUUUGGCAAACGAAUUUUUAGUUGUGGAUGCCAUUUUCAUUUUGAUCAAUAAAUUGGUUGCAUUUCAAUAUAUCAUUUAAGAAGAUUUUCAUGUGUGCAGGUAGAAAUUCUUUCUGCAGUUAUAAGUACAGUUGCAAACAGUGUGAAAGCUGAUGCCAUUGCUGAUGUUGGUGCUGGUCAGGUGUAGAUUCAUUUUCUUUUGCUUACAAUUAUGUUAAAGUAGAUACAAAUCCUAUGUAUGUGUUAGAAGUGGAUUUUAAGCCUAACUCAAUUCUACAAAACCGGCUUGUAAGGUGAGGUUUGAACCCACUUAUAUACUAUAAAUUGACCUUAUCUCUAGUCGAUGUGGGACUUCCAACACACCUCCCUCACGCUGAGGUAUAUAUAUCUCGAGCGUGGGACUAGACAUUAAUGGGUGGUCCAAUAGCGGCCCGAUAGCGGGUGAAACAAUAUGCCCAACAAACAACAAAUAUUGUUAGGAUAGACUUUAACGAUGACUCUGAUACCAUGUUAGAAGUGAACUUUAAGCCUAACUCAACCCUACAAAACCGGCUUGUAAAGUGAGGUUUGCACCCACUUAUAUACUAUGAAUUGGCCUUAUCUCUAGUCGAUGUGGGACUUCUAAUAGUAUGUUUGACAAAUCAAGGGAUAUGGCAUGGUUAAAAGUAAUUCUCUUUUAAAAUCAACAGAUGCAGUGAUAGUUGCCUCAAUUCCUCAUAAUUAAUCUCGAUACCUAAAAAAUAAUCAAGUCUGCCAAGAUUUUUGAGGGAGAAAUUGCUCUACAAAUGGUGAGUGAGCUGCUGAAUAAGCGGAGUGGAAGUGCCUGUGAUAAUAAUGUCGUCAACAUACACCAAGAUGUAAGUUUGACCAUGUUGAGUGCAGUAAAAUAAAGAGGGAUCAAAUUUGGUGGAGUAGAAACCAAGAGAAAUAAGGGUGGAUUGGAGCUUGUCAAACCACUGCUGAGGCACCUGUUUCAGGCCAUAAAUUGCUUUGUUUAGGCAACAAACCAAAGUCUUAUCAGAAGCCUGAAAACCAGGGGGUUGGCUCAUAAAAACAAUUCAGGAACCCAUUGAAUAAGGCAAGGUUAUCAAAUUUGAGAGUUUACGUAAACUCGUGAAAGUCGAGUAAACUCGACUCGUCAACUCGACUUGUAAACUCGACUCGUAAGAGUUUACUUCAGAUGAAAAAAAUUAUAUAAAUAAUAUCUUAAUUCAAAUAAGUCUACAAAAUUAUAUAACUUUAAAUAAAUAAAAUUUAUAGAUAUAUUGUUCAUAAAAGUAAAUAUUGUAAAAUAUAAAUACUUAGAUUAUUGUCAUUAAUUUUGAUGCAUUUCAUCAAAUAUAUAGUAAAAAGAGAAUUGUAGCAGUGGCAAGGACUUAGGUUUUAUUGUUUAGAAAAACAAUUUCUUUUACCUAUUAUAAACCAAACAGUGCUCAGCUCAUGACUUUGUUAAAAAAAAUAAAAUUCACUCAACAGUGAGUGACGCAGUUGGGAAGGAAGGAGGCGAGACUAGUAUGCGCAGCGGCAAGCGUGACGGUAGACGCGGCGGCGAGUGUGACAAUAGGCGCGACGGCGAGUGCAAAACAAACAUGACGACAGCCACGAACGAAGCGUAGAUGGAGUGUGAACGAAAUGCGAUCGAGCGCACACGACGGCGACCUGAAGGAGGCAAGGCGAUGGCGAUGGCCAUGGAGAGAGACAGAGGGGCGCGAGAGAUAGUGACAAUCAGAUCAUGAAACCCUAAACCCCAAACGACCUCGUUUUUCUUAAUUGUUCCCCUUUCAAGCUUGCAGAAUCGCUCCAAACUUGCGAUUCUGCACAAUCCUACCAAUUUCACAGUUGAUUCUACCGAGUUUAUACAGAAAACGAGUUUACUUCCGAGUUAAUUCGGAAGCCAUGUCUGGAAACAUAAACUUGUACGAGUUUAAGAGUUAACUUUAUAGUUUGAUAACCAUGGAAGAAGACAUUGUUGACAUCCAAAUGAAAGAGAUCCCAACCAUAUGUUAAAGCCUGAGUGAGAAUAAGUCUAAUGGUUAGAGGUUUGAUAACUGGAGAAAUGGUUUCUUUAUAAUAAAAAACUAGGAACUUGAGUAAAGCCUUUGGCAACCGGAUGAGCUUUGUACUUGUUUAUACUACUACUAGGGCUUUGUUUGAUGCAAAAUCCCAUUUACAACAACCUGAUGACCAUGAAGUAGUAGCACCAAAUCCCAGGUGUGUUGAUGGAUAAGAGCCUCAUAUUCUGACUUCAUAGCAGCAGCCUAGUGAGGAAUUUUAAUGGCCUGAGAAAACUUGGAAGGUACAACAACUGUGAGUAACAAUAAUGAAGGAUGGAUGUGAGAAUCAGUGUUAUCGAUAUAUGAUAACGUAAAAUAUCGGUGACCCAAAAAUCCUUUAUAGUUAUAAAGGAAACCCUAACGGGUUAUGGCGGAAAUGUUGCGGUCAAAAGAAAUAUAAUACCACCACAUAUAAUUCUAAUGCAAAGUAAUGAUAUUAUGUCUAAAAGUUCAAAUAAUAAUAUCAUAUCAAAACACCACAAAUUUAAAGUUCAAAACAUAAUAUAACAACAAAUCAUAAAAUGAAUGUAUUAAGUUUCUAAUCAUCAGAUUCAUCUUCAAUCCCGACAUAAUUUUCUUCAAUAUUAUCAUCCAAUGGGGCAUAUCCCUCCUCCUCUUCCCCUUUUGAGAGACUCUUGUCAAAGUUAAGUAAUCUUUCAAACUUGGAAUCAGAAUUAUCAUGCAAUUCAUUUUGAAUCCCAACUUGAGCCUUCUAUUUACACUUCCCUGUUGGUGUUGGGGUUGGAGGUGCACUUGAACCUUUCUUAGAAGCAUGGGAAAAUCCAAUAACUAUACCACCAAUUUAUGGUUGCUUUCUUUUAUUGGUUGCUUGUCUCCUUGUAUAAACUCUUGGUUCUCCAAUACCUGAAGCUUCAUAAAUAGUGGCACAAUUAAGAGUGGGAUCAUCAUAAAAUACCAAUUCAUUUCCCCCCUCUCCAUUAUCGUUGUCAUCAACUUCUCCCACUUAACACUCAUUGCAUUCAUCAAUGUCGUUCAAUACAUAAGGGUCUAUUUCAUCCCUAAUAUUGUAUCUUUGAACAAGUUGUAGAUUAUAAUUUAUGCAAACCAAAUCAUGCAACCUUUUGUGGUCCAGCAGCCUAUUCCUUUUCUUUGAAUGAAUUUGCAUUAUGAAUAAGUACUAUGUGAAUUAAUUUCUUUCUACACUCUACAAAUAAGAUAAUAACGAAAUUAGUCAUGUCUUAUUAUCUUCUCAAAAACACCCCAAUUCCGGUAACAUCCUGAUGAACUACAUGUCAAACUUAAAAUCUUGAUUGCUAGCUUUUGUAAGUUGGGAGCUGCAUGCUCAUAAUUCUUCCGCCAUUGAGUUACAAAAGCAAUGAAAGUAACUUAGAAUGUAACCAUUAUAUCUUAGCACAAUUUAGAAAGCGUUACGUGUCUCACCUAGGGCUGUGGUCUUCCUUGAUUCUUUUGCAAAAUCAUCACCAAAGAGUCCACUUACACUAUUCUAAAGAGACAAUUCAGGUAAAAUAUUUUGCUGCACAUCUUUACUUGGCACCAACCUCCUGAUGCAAGCAUAUAAUCCAUUUGUAACUUUGAAAUCAUUUUCCAUGUCUGGGUUGGAAUGAAAUAACUCUGGGUUCAAAAAGUGACUAGCUGCAUGUAAGGGGUGAUGUAGUGGACAUGUCCAUCUAUUAUCAAUGAUUGGAAAUACAUCAUUGUAUUUACUUUCAUUGUUGUUGAGCGACUUCAUUAUUGUUUCCUUGGCUUUUUCCAUUGCUUCAUAUAUAUAGCCCAUAGUUGCUUUUCUUUCCCAUCCACUAGACGAACCACAUGAACAAGAAGAGCCAUGACUUGGAGAGUAAAUACGACAUAAUUCCAAAAUGAAGGCCUAAGAACAAUUUUCGAAGCCUCCCUCCCCUUAGCUUCCUUAGAUAGCUUGUUAUUGCUCCAUUCAUCAUAAGUGAACAUCUUUCUCAAAUUUCCCUUCUCUUGGUGCAAUCUUUGUAAUGAUAAAUAAGAAGUAGCAAACCUUGUAACAACAUGUCUUAUUAAUUCCUCUUUAUUUGUAAAUUGUUUCAACAAACUCAAGGUACUAGAAUGGCUAUAGAUAAAGCCAACAAGACUAACUCCUCUUUGAAUUGUCUUCUUUAUCAAAGGAAGCUUUCCAAUGUCUUCAAAUAGAAAACCUAUACAAUGGUAGCACAAGGAUUCCAAUAGAGAGGGGGUCUUUUCUCUUCCAACAACUUACCAGCCAACACAUUUUCUCCCAUUAUCUGUUAUAACUUGAACGACAUUUUCUUCUUCAAUUUCCUGCUCAAGGGAAUCAAGCAUCUCAAAUAGUUUUUCUCCUGUCUUCACAAAGUUUAAACCAUCAAUGGACUUGACAAAUAUUAUCUUGCAGGGGAGCUGACCAAAAAGUUAAUCAAGCAAGCAUCGUUGCUUUCGGUCAGUCCAUGCAUCUGACAUAAUAGAAUAGCCAUGUCUGCUCCACUGCAAUUUAUGAUCCUGCAACAACUUCUCAGUGUGCUUAACUUCCUUGUUGAGAAGUGGAACUCUGAUUUCAUGAUAAGAAGGAGCAGGUAAAUUAGGUCCAUAAGCACCUAUGGCAUAAUCAUAUCUUGAAAACUUUUCAACCUCACAAGGUUGAAUGACAAGCCUGCUUGGUACCAAAAUCGAGCAAUAUAUUGAUAAAGUGAGGCCUUUAAAUUUUUGUCACAUGCCUCUUUGAUGUUAGCUUGCCUGAGUUUUUCCUUUUUUCUCUUCUCUAUUGCAGAAGCUGGAUUUCUACAGAACAUAUCCAUUGGUCCUUUUCUUCCACUACUAUUUCUCCCUUUAUCAUUACUAGUAGUGGAAAUUUCAACUUCAUCUUCACUCAUGAUUAUCAUUGACUGCACUAUAUCUAGGAUUGACGGAAGAACUGUCUGUUUUUCUUUAUAUAAUUUCCAAAGUUAUUCUCUCACAUUUUUCGGAGUCUUGGUGCAAGCAACAACACUGCCCUUCUUUCCCGUUAGAUGUUCUUUUGCUCUAGUAACUCCUCCUUUCAUAACUUUCCCACAAUAGUUAAAAAUAUUUAAAUUUGAUUCAUCCAUCGGGUGACAUUGUUACCAACCUGGGUCACUUCUGAGAUGUUCUUGAAGUGUCCUGACUAUUUGGCCAUUACUGUUGCUGGAAAAUAGGUAUACUUUUUGAAAAAAUAAUUAUAGUGAAAGUGGAGAAGUAGAAAAAAAAAA